UCUUUUUUUUUUUUUUUAUUUUUAUGGAAUUAUGUUAUAGUUAAUUACUUUAUGGAUUUAAGUUUUUAAUAAGUUGUCUCCAAUUCUUCAUUCUUUUGUAUGCUCACAUUUUAUGUGGAGGGAACUUACAAGCUACUGUGACCAGUGACUAAGAAAUUGAACCACUGGGUAUCCACAUAAUAUUACUUUGAUAGAUAGUAGUUUAGACGUCUUAGUAAUUUGUCACUUAAUUUUAAUUGAAACUACUCUAUGACCAUUAUUUUUUUUUUAAUCUUUUUAGUGAAAAUAUUUAAUUUUUUUCUUCAAUCACAUUAUAAUUGUAAAAAACCGAGAAAAUCGAAAUAACCCGACUAAAAUUAAAAUUAAAAAAUCGAUUGUAUAUUGGUUUGAUUUGGUUUAUAGAUUUAGAAAACCGACAUUAUUAAUUUUGUUAUAUUUUAAUGAAAAACCGAGUCAACCCAACCUAUGUACACCCCUACAUAUCAGUCCACUAUCCUAGUUAGGUUGAACUCCAAAUCUGUAUCUUGUUCACUAUUUCAUUGGAAAUAAAUUGGAUAACCAACAUAAAUUCCUACAGUUUAAAAUUUAACUACAGAAAAUUCUAACAUUUUACAUAAUUACUGAAACUCACGAUUUUGAAUCUGUUGAGAUACAUAAUUAGCUUCCGGGAUAUUCAAUGAAGAUACAUUUUUUCCUUUGUAAAGAUACAUAAUUAGAUCCCUUUGCAUUUUUUUUUCGAUUUGGAUAUGUCGAGAUACGUAAUGCAUCCAAUAAAGAUACAUUUUUUUCUUGUAAAGAUACAUAAUAAGCUUCCGAUUUUUUUUUUCUAAUUUUGAAUUUGUUGAGAUACAUAAUUAACUCCUCGAUACAUUCAAUGAAGAUACAUAAUUAGUUGAAAUUUUUGUAAUUACUUUGUGAGAAUGAAGAUUUGUGUAAAUAUGAUAAGUUAAGUUGUAUAUUUAUGUUAUCAUAGCAAAUAAAUUAGGAUGUGUGUUGGUGGACGGGAGUACGAGAGUUAAUCCUAUAAUUUGAAGCUAAAGCUGAAUGAUGUUAUAGAGAACGUAUAAUUAUAACAUAACACGAAAAUUGUUUCAUGUAAUAAAAAUAUUGUUUACAAAAAUAUAAUUAUAACAUAACAUGAAAAUCAAUUCAUGUAAUGAAAUAUUGUUAUAAAAGAUGAUGUUAUAGAAGUCUAUUUUGAAAAAGAAGGUAACAAAAUGCAUGCAAGUUACAUGCUCUUUUUCUAUUCUGGUUUUAAGUGAAACUAGUGUUAUUUCGUCUAUGCUAAACUUAGGCUUAAAUCAAUGUUACGAAUUAAAUUGACAUAUUUAAAAAAAAAAAAAAUCCCUUACUUCUUUAUUUUUGUAACAUUAAUUUGACACUUUUUAAUAACUUCUAAAAUAUUAAGAUACAAAACGGUAUCUGAAAAUUUAAGGAUAUUUUUCUUAGUUUCUAUAAGAUUCUUUUUAAUUAAAAAAAUAAACAAAUGCAUGCAUGAAAUUUUUUUCUAAUUUCUAUUUAACUAAACUCGUUUGCCAUUUUCACAUAAAAGAAAGUAUAUAUGAGGUGUAUUUAUAGGGUCAUUAUCAUCAUUACCAUGAUAUAAUUAUCUUUAAUACAUGUAAAAAUCCUUAAAGUUCUUAGAAUUUACCAAAACUUAUGGCAAUUACAAAGCCAUAUAACUACAAUUAAGAAUAAAAAGAAACUAUGUGAGAAUUAUAAAAUGUGGACAUCCUGCCUUAUAUAGUAGUAGUAUAUUAUACUCUCUUCAUUCAAAAUUACUUGUAAGUCCCUAAUUGAAUUUCCAUUUCCACUUCAUCUCUUUAAUAUAAUACAUUUCUUUCAACUCCUCAAUCUACAGAAAUGUACACAUUCUUUCAUCUCCUCAAUCUACACAUACAUAUAACAUGAGUGAUUUCUUUAAUUCUCUUUCAUAAUGUAUACUCAACAAAAAUUCUUGAAAAAAUAGCAUAUUCAUCUCAUAACGAUUGUAUUAAUGCUAAAAUGAGAUUUGUAUUUCAUUGAUUUUUUAUUUUUUUUGACAUGCAAUGCACAUGCACUUACGAUGAUCAUUUUAUGCAUUUAUUUGUUUGUAUGCUACUGUUAGUCUUUUAAAGAGGUAUUCGAUGACAAUAUUAUAUAUCAACAACUGUUUAGAGAAAUUAUCAGUUGAAAAUUCAUGAAACUGAAAUAAAGACAUCCAUACCAGGAAGAAAAUUGAAGAGUUUAUAAGUGCAUACAUAAAAAAUGAAAAUGGAGUGGCCGCAUACAGAAAUGGCGUGGUAUGCGUUUUUAAUUUAUUGUUUUUUUUUUACUUCAAUAUUAAAAAGAAAAAAUUACAGAAAAAUACACUUACAAAUGUACGUUUCAUUUUCGUAGCAUAAAAGUUACAUUACAUUACAUGGCCCAAAAUCAGACUUUGCCCAAAUCUGCAAACUAACCUGUUUGUUGGUUAUAUCGUGUAAAGAGGCUUUUCCUUCAAAAUUGAAUCUUUUUUUUACCCGAUUUCAGCUCCAAAACCUCUCAAAAAAAUUAGUACACCUUAUUCAACUCGAAAUAUAUACAAUGCAACUUGAAAAGUUCGUGAACAUAAGCAAUUCUUGAAAAAAAUUCAACAUUGUUGAAAAUUAAUUUUUGUCAUUCGAGCUUCAUUUUUGAAUUUUUGUAGAUAAGUUCAAUUUUGAGUGAGUACGGUUAUAAAAGAUCGGUUAGGUACCGAGGAGCUCAAAUAUGAAAUUUUGGAUAAUUUAGUGUAGUUUUGAGGUAUUUUUGGAGAAUUAGUGCUUGAAUUCGUAGAAGAAAAUGAAGUUUGUUCUUUUGUAUACGUUUGUAUACUGUAUUGUAUAUUGUUUUAUAUAAAAUACAAUCUUUUUGUUUAGGUAAUUUCUUCUUCCUACCCAUUUUAUACAUACUUAUACAAUAUAGAUACAUUGUUUAAACACUGUAUAUAAAUAUGUACGUAUUUGUAUAAUUAUGCAUAUUAUUGAAUAAUUGUAUAUAUAACAUUAUGCAAAAUUAUAAGAGGCCUAUAAUACACUCAUAUAAAAAUACUAUACAAUAUUAUGUGCAAUAAUAGUCUAUUUAGGUGAUUUUCUUCUUCCUUACCAUUUUACAUCCACUUAUACAGUGUUAAUACAAUGUCUAUUUUGUAUAUAUUUAUAUAUUAUAUUGUAUAUUGUUGUUUAUAUUUAUAUACCGUAUUGUAUAUUGUUGUAUAUACAAUACAGUCUUUUUGUUUUGGUGAUUUUCUUCUUCUGCUUCAUUGUAUACAUUAUUAUACUAUUAGCCCCAUAUUCUCACUAUAUGUUUUAAUAAGGACAAAUUAAUAAACAAAUAUCUUGCAGGAUACACCGAAGAUGCAAAAGAUCAAAUAGAAUCAAUCCAAAAAGGAAGCAAACAUCUACUCACAAGACAGGCGGUUCCAAGAUUGAAAGAACAUCAAUCACAAAGAUUAUUGACUUCCAAGACUUAUGGCAAGCGAAUCAAUCAAGAACAAGAGCAAAAGGAAAGAAGACCAUAGUAUCAAUCACGGAGAGUACUAGCCUCCUAGAAUUAUAGCAAGUCGAAUUACUCAAGACUAAGAGCAAAAGGAAAGAAGGUCGCACCCUCUACAUAAACAUAUUUGAUAUGGAUAUGUAUGGAUGUGGAAGUUGCAUCACGUAUGGACACAUUUUAUGGUGUCAUUCCUCAAUCAAGGAAUCAAUUCAAAUCCUUGAUUGAGAAAAAACCUCUUGGGUUUAAUUAUGAAGAAUAGAAGUUGAAGCAGCUGAAGAUUAUAAAAGAAAAGACCAAAGAUCGAAGCACUUACGCAACUUUAAGAAAGAAUCUCAGAGUGUCUCAAUCUUAGUCUCAUAAAGCUUUGUACUUCUUAGUUUAUAAUAGUUAUACAAAAAAUAAGAUCGAGUCAAUUUUGUAAUACAAAUUGAGGCUGUGUCACAAGAUCUAAAAAACAAAAUAAGUCUUCAGAACUUAUUUACCACCAUUGUACUGGAGCUCCACUUUGAAAGAUCUAAGGAGACUUUGAAACCCAAGGGGACUGGAAGUAGGCACUAUAUUGGUGUUCUGAAUCAGGAUAAAUCUAUGUAUUUUCUAUUUCAAGUUGUAUAUUUACUUAUCUGCUGAUUUAAAUCUAAUCCGGUUUGUGAAGUAUAUUGAUUUGCAGAAAGUCGACUUAGAAGACUUAACAGUCGACUCACAAAAAUUUUCAAUUCACCCCCUCUUGAAUUUUAAUUGGUAUUAGAGCAAGUUUCACCAACAGUGUUGCUUAAACGCACGUGAGAAAAGAUCAGAUGGCAAACUACCAAAAUCCCGGCGCUCUCCUUCAAGACGGCCAUUCCACCACAAAACCAUAAUACUUCAACUGACAAUAGUAUUCCUAUUGGAAGAACAGAUUCAGAAUAUUCAUCCAAUCGAAUGACUUUCAAACAUGGGGUGUUAUUAAGAAGGGACCAAAGUCAAUCCCAGAACUCAAGGAAAAGUAGAAAGGUAAGGACAAAGACAAAGAAUCGAGCAGUACUGAUAUAGAAGACCUCGGGAACUUUGAAAUCACCAAAGAGAAACAAGAGGUAACUCAAACUAAUGCACGAGCUAUAAAUUUACUUCUUUGUGCAGUGAGCAGAGAAAAAUACGACAAGAUAUCGACCUGCUAGACCGCAAAAAAAUGUAGGAUAAAUUAGAGGUAAUUUAUGAAGGAACCACCAAAAUCAAGAAGUCAAAAAUUGCUGCUCUAGUCCAUGAAUACUUUAAAAUAGAAGAAAAUGAGAACGUAAAAUCAAUGUUUGCAGAUUUAGCAAAAUUGUGUGUGAACUAAAAUCAUUAGGGAUGAUCUAUCCGCACAGCCUGCAAGACCAGGAGCUUGUUAGAAGUCUCCCUAAACUAAAAUUGUCAAUCUGGAAGAUGGAGACCUUUACAACAUGACAUAUAAUGAGUUACGAGGUAAUCUCAUUGCAUAUGAACAAAACUAUAUCAAUAGGUACAACAAGGAAGAAAAAAAGAAACCAGUAGCCUUCAAUGUUGUACCAAAUGAAGAGAGACUUUUUGGAAGAAGUCAAUAGCGAAGGAAUUGCUCUUAUAAAUUAAGGAUUAAGGUAAAUCAUGAAAAAGAGACAACAGAGAUCCCAAGGAGUCAGAAAUAAUGAUUCCACAAGAAAUAAUUAUCGUUGUUAUCACUGUAGAAGGCCAGGCUACUUUAAAAAAAUUAUUCCAGAAUUAAGAAGAAGAUCGUCUAGAAAAAAUAAAAACUUUAGAUCCUAGAGUGAUGAAGAUGAAACCGAAGAAGAAAUACAAGCAGCCAACAUGUGCUUCAUGGUAAAAGGUGAAUCAAGCAAGGUAAGACCACACGACUAUCAUAAUUGUAAUAUUCUUGAAUCUAAUUUAGAUAUGAUAACUGACGAGCUUUAAAAUUUUAUAGAUGAAUAUAAUAAACUCUCUCAAGAGAAUAAAAACUGAAAAGCUCGACUUAAACUAAAAUAUGAAAAGGAACGAAGAAACUGUCAAGUUGAAAUUGAAGCAUGUCAAAUUGAAAUUGACUUACUUCAAGAAGAGCUUGAUGAUGUAAAAAUAUAAUUAAGUAGCAUUAAAAAAUCACAAAGUCACAGUUUCGUAAGAUCAAAUUCCUUUAAAACCAACUUAAGUUCCCCUUUAAGAUCGUUUAAAUCAGCCAAGACCUCUUUCUCCUUUCAAGGACCUAUCUGCUAUACCUGUGGAUAGAAAGGACACAAAUCAUACAGCUAAAAGUAAAAGCCUAAAAGUGCAUGGGUUUGGAGGCCUAAAGGAAGUACAUCUAACUCGCAAGGACCCAAGACCAUUUGGGUAUCUAAACAAAAUUGAUUUCUUUUUUGCAGGAACAUGUUCGUAAAAUCUAUAAAAAGGAAAUGUGGGUCAUUGAUAGCGGAUGUUCCAGACAUAUGACCCCAAAAAAAAGAAAAUUUUUAUUCUCUGAAGAAAAUAAAAGAAGGAUCAGUCAGAUUCAAUGAUAAUUCUAGAAACAAUGUGAUUGAAGUUGGGUCAAUAAAGCUCAACCCCUCAUGUGAACUUAUUAAAGCAUAUCUCAUAGACGGACUCAAACCUGCUCAGUAUUAGUCAGCUGUGUGACGCUGGAUUUAGAGUCUCCUUCAAAGCUGAAAGUUGUUCCAUCAAACAUGAUAAAAGAGAUAUUUCUCUUAUCAGUGAACAUGUUGAUAAUAUUUAUGUCUUAAAUAGUCCUGAUUUUGCUACCUUAACCCGCCUCACCGUGUAAACCAAUGACACUUAGUUGUGGCACAGAAAGCUUAGGCAUGCCAGUAUACAUAUCAUUGAGAAACUGUGCAGACUGAAACUGGUGAAAGGCCUGCCAAAACUCAAGUUUGAGAAGGAUCAAAUCUGUGAUGCCUUCCAAUUGAGUAAAAAGACCCGAACAUCAUUCAAAGUCAAAGACAUUGUCUCUACUACUAAACUCCUUCAAACAAUCCACAUGGAUUUAUUUGGCCUCGCCAAGACUGCAAAUAUUGGUGGGAAAAGAUGUAUUUUUGUUACUGUUAAUGAUUAUUCUCGUUUUACCUGGGUAAUGUUUCUCGCUCAUAAACAUGAGAUUUUUACGAAUUUUGAGAUCUUUUGUAGAAAAGUACAAAGAGAAGCAGGACAUCUCAUCACCUAUGUGCACAAUGAUCAUGAAGGAGAAUUUGAGAACAAAACUUUCGAGAAAUACUGUGCUCAGAAUGGAUACUCUCAAAACUUCUCAUCACCUCAGUCUCCUCAACAAAAUAGUGUGGUGGAAUGAAAAAAUCAUUCCUUUCAGGAGACUACAAGAACUAUACUACUGGAACACGAUCUUCCAGAUCACUUUUAAGCAAAGGAAUCAUAGGUGAUUAACUCCCCUCCACAGCCAGCAUAGACACAUUUCAUGCUUUUCAACUUCAUCAAAUUCACUGGAAGAAUCUCAUUAGACUACCAAAGCUUGUUUCACUGAAAAAUCAGCUGCAACUUUUCUUCUUGACUUCUCAGGGACAUAGUCUUUCUUCUUUCCCUUAUUAGCUCCAGAUUUUUGAUAUUCUUGAUAGUCCAAUUUGUGUAGUGGACAAUCCUUGAUAAAAUGCUCAAGACUUCCAUAUUUGUGACAAACUUCAACAGUACCUCCCUUUGUUCUACUGCUUCAUUUCCUUUGAAAUUGGCCACUUUUCUUCAUUGCUUUCACAAUCUUUUUGGCCAGGUAUGCAACAUCAUUGUCUUCCUCGCUUGAUUCGAACUUUGAUGCUUUUGAUGCCAAAGACUUUUUCCUUUUUACUUCCUUCUUCUCAUGCCCUUGCUGCUUCAUGGGUUCAUGAGUCUUUAGAUUACCAAUAAGUUCAUCUAUAAUGAGAGUCUUCAGGGUUCUUGCCUCAGUAAUAGCAUUUAGUAAGCACAACAUGUCACAUCAUCAACAAAUGCCUCAUUAGACCUAUUCUAAAAAAGACGCCUUCUGAGAUGUGGAGAUGGAAGAAGCCAAAUAUUAGCUACUUUCAUUCAUUCGGAUGCAAAUGCCUCAUCCACAACAACGGUAAGAAUAACAUGGGAAAAUUCAAUCUAAGAAGUGAUGAUGGUAUUUUUCUUGGAUACUCUCCCACCAAUCGCGCUUACAGGCUUACAAUAAAAGAACAUUAGAUGUUAAAGAAUCUAUGCAUAGCAUAUUAUGAUGAAACUAAUCACCCUCUUAUGAAUUUAAGUAUUGAUGAAGAACAAGUGAGCAAUCCAUAAUCUAGAGCCAACUAGCACAGUUCCUAAGCCAUCGCAAGACGAGUCGACUACAUCCUUUCUAGAGUCUACUCUCGCAGUUGAAAUAAUCAAAACAAGUGUUCUAAGAGAAUAGAAAAAUUAUGCUAGCUAUUCAAAUAAUUUUACUAUCAAAAAUCUAGAUGAUAGGAUGCAGACAAGAGCCUUAUUGAUAAAGCAAGCAUCUGUUGCCCUUGUAUCUCAAAUAGAACCAAAGAAGAUUGAUGAGUCCCUCAAAGAUGAAUCCUGGGUCAAGGCCAUGAUAGAAGAAUUGGACUAAUUCGAACGAAGUCAAGUUUGGACCUAGUUGAAAGACCCAAGAACUGCUCAGUAAUCGAAACUAGAUGGGUCUAUAAAAAUAAAUUGACUGAAGAAGGUAAGGUGAUCAGAAACAAUGCCAGACUUGCAGCUCAAGGCUACUCCCAACAAGAAGAAAAAAUUAAAAUGGGCCUCAUAGGAGAGGUCACAUUUUCUUGGGAUUACAAAUCAAGCAAACACCUAAAGUUACUUUCAUUAGUCAAGCCAAAUACACAAAGGAACUUAUCAUAAAGUUUGGCAUGGAGAAAGAAAAGGCCUAUGGAACUCCAAUGAGUCCAUCCACAAGUCUUGAUUCAGAUUCAUCUAGAAAAGAUGUUGAUGAAAAAACAUACAGGGUAAUGAUUGGAUCACUUCUCUACUUGACCACUAGUCGACCAGAUAUUAUGUUCAGCGUAUGUAAGUUUGCAAGGUUUCAGUUGGCUCCCAAAGAAUCUCAUUUGACUGCCGUCAAAAGAUUAAUCUGAUAUCACAUUGGAACCUAGGAUACUGGACUAUGGUACCCUUGUUCUUCUCAUUUUAAUUUAAUUGGAUAUUCAAAUGCUAACUUUGCAGGUGAUAAAAAUGAUAGAAAAAGAACUAGUGGAAGUUGUCAAAUACUUAGUGAUGCCUUGAUUUCAUGGCACAGUAAGAAGCAAACUUCGGUUGCUCUUUCAACAAAAGUCGAAUACAUCGCAGUUGGAGGAUAUGAUACUCAAAUUUUAAGGGUUAUGCAACAACUACUUAAUUUUAAUUUGUCCUUUGAAUUUGUACCCAUAAUGUGUGAUAACACCAGUGCUAUUAGUUUGUUUAAAUAUAUUGUGCAUCAUUCUAAGGCAUUUUAUUUGAGAUCAUGUAGAAAACAGAGACUUUUCUUUAAUAUUUAUUGACUCCAAAAAUCAAUUGGUAGAAUUUUUCCCAUGCCUUUGUUAGAAGAAAAUUUUGUUUCCUUAGAAAAAGACUUGGUAUUAUCAGUAUUAAUGACUUGUGAGUUUUAUCUUUGGAAAAUAUUUUUUUUUACCUAUUUUGGAACAUUUUUUUACUACCUUAUUUUUACUUUUGAAAAUUGAUUUUCUAAAGGAAGGUGUCAUCAUUACUUUCAUCAUUUCUUACGCCACGUCUGUCGCCACUACACUCUUUUAUAUUACCAACAUCCCCCUUUCUGUCGUCCUUUCAAUUCCAUCAGUCACCUCAUUUACUUCGCCCCCUUCUCCCAACAGUCACCUCAUUCCCAACAUCCCCCUUCUCCUCUCGAUUCACUCACCCAUUUCUUCAUCUUCUCCUCCGCCCAUUUUAAAAUCAUGAUAAACUAUUCUCCCAUGACCAAAACUCACUCCAUGGCCAGUUUUUCCAAAAAUUUCUUCGAAAAUCUCUAUUCGAUAAUCAUGUUCUCAUCAUCGAAUCCUCUGAUUAAUAUUCAUUGAAUUCUCAACAGUCAACUAUUAUCAAAAAAAUUCCAGCCCCCAGCCUAGCCUCUUCAAUAAAGUAACCUCAUUCAAACUCCCUGAACACCUUCCCUUUCGAGGACAUGCUUAAAUUCUGAACAAGCUCACAAAGAAAAGUUCAUAGCCUCCAAAAGUCGCUCCAUUGUACCCGAUCGCAUAGUCAAUCUUUAUUAAUUAAAGAAAGCUCAUUGCAAUCCCAGUCAGUCUUUAAAUUUUAUGACUAGCCACUGGUUUUUUGCCUAUGUGGACUUGAAGUGUAUGAGGAUCUUGUUUGAAUAUUUUAUGCCAAUUUCUUCUGCCUCCCUCCUGACAGCAAUAAACUUAAGAAUCUUACACUUGGCACAUGAAUCAUACUAAAUAUUUUUCUGUUUGUAAAGGUAUUUGGUGCAAAGUUCUAUAGUGCGAUCCCCUUGUUGAAUGACUCAUAUCCCGAAGAUUUUGAAAUAAGAUUUGAAGAAGUUAAAAAAAUCCUGUCUAACCUGAACACAAUGUCUUUUAAUUUUGGUCCCUUAUCUCUAUGUUUUAAGUACCGCAUCAUGGCUCAUAUCAUCGUCAUCAUAUUGAUUCCAAGGAAGGUAUCCUUUUAAAUAUAACCUGUCGCGAUGUGUUUGUCCUGUAUUGUAUUGAAAAAACACAAGAUAAAUUGGGCUUCUUAAAUUCGUGAAUAUAUGCUUUAGAGUACAGUAGAUAUUCAUGCCUCUGCCAGUAUGUCAUAUGGAUUGCUGAUUACUCGAAUUCUCCUGUAUUAGUAUAUUGACCUCUCUGAUUACCCCUCGGUGGAAGUCUCCGCUACUUAUGUCUCCAAAAGUUUUUCCAACAUGGGAUAUGUUUUGGUCGAUAAUGAAUGGUGUAAAAAUAACUCUACUCGAUCAAAAUAUGAACUCCCUAAGGUAAGCAAGUCAGUUUCUAACCCCAUGAUUUCUGUGUUAAAGGAAUUGAAGGAACUCAAAGAUUACUUCAAAGCUAUUGAUGAAGGUGUAAUGCUGCUUCAGGGGUUGACUUCUAGGCUGAUAGAUUUUGGGAAGAGCACAAACAAUGAUAUAGACUCAUUAUAGCUGACCCUUGCCGGAUUCAAACAAGAAGGCAUCAAGCUAUUCACCAAAGUAUUUGCUCGUAUGGACUCCCUCAAGACUCAGGUCAACUCCUCAAAUGAUUAUCUUACGAUAUCCAUCCAGAACUCCUACUCCUCCUUCUUUAAAAACGUUGAAAAAUCUUAUGACAAAUUCUGCCAUAACAUGCAUAACACCCUCACAUACUUUCUAGCUAAGCAGUGAAUGAUGACUUUUAUUAAAAAGGGGUCAUGUCCCCUUUUUAGGUUUGUAAAAUAAAUUUUACAUAUUGUCAACCAUAUUUUUUUUAUUUUUACUUAAUCCUGAUAAUCAAUUAGACUAUUUACCUGCUAUAUGUCUACUGCUUCUUUUAUUUUCUUUUGUCGUGUUGUUCUUUUUUAUUAUGCCAAAAGGGAAAGAAAGGCAGGAGCAUCAGAGGAGCCCGCAAGUCAGGAGGAACAAGUCGACUAUCAAAGGGUGAGAGUCAAUUGAUGCUCAAAGAAAAGAGGAACAUUAGAAGUGCUUGCAAGACAAGGGAAGAAAGCCAACUAUCAAAGGAUGAGAGUCAACUAAUGCUCAAAGAAAAUAGUAACAUCGAAGGUGUUUGUGAGACAGGGGAGCACAUCAUCAAAAAAUAGAAAAGUCAACUGAUGUUUAUUAUUUGUCAUUAUAAAAAAAGGAGAGAUUGUUAGCCCAAUAUUCUCACUAUAUGUUUUAAUAAGGACAAACUAAUAAACAAAUAUCUUGCAAAAUACACUGAAGAUAAAAAGGAUCAAAUAGAAUUAAUCCAAAAAGGAAGCACACAUCUACUCACAAGAUGGAACAACAUCAAUCACGAAAAUUACUAACUUCCAAGACUUAUGGCAAGUGAAUCAAUCAAGAACAAGAGCAAAAGGAAAGAAGACCACAAUAUCAAUCAUGGAGAUUACUGGCCUCCCAGAAUCAUGGAAAAUCAAAUCAAUCAAGACUAAGAACAAAAGGAAAGAUGGAAACACCCUCUACAUGGACAUAUCUGAUAUGGACAUAUAUGGAUGUGGAAGUUGCAUCACGUAUGGACAUACUUUAUAGUUCCAUUCCUCAAUCAAUCAAGGAAUCAAUUCAAAUCCAUGAUUGAGAAGAAAUCUAUUGGCUUUUCUUACAAAGAAUAGAAGCCAAAGCAGUUGAUGUCACACCCCAUUUUUAUUAAAAAAAGAUAUAAUUGAGUUUGAAAAGGGUAUUAUUAUUAAAAGUGACAAAUAGGACAAAAUGUGUUUCGAAAAGGAUUUUAAAACACGAAUUCAGAGUCUCCACUUGGCAUAGAUUUGGUGUGCCAAGUCACCUUUGGAAAUUCUUUUCAAAAUAAAUUUGACUCUCAAAACUGAUCCGCGAACAGAGAUUUUGGUUAAGAAAUUAUAUUGACCGAGGAGAAGAUGUUAGGUACCCCUCGGUCCCGUGGUUCUAGCAUGGUGGCUUCUUGACUUGUAUCAGCUAAUCUGAUACCAUGAAGUGAAUAAACCACAUAAAACACACAAAACUAAUAAACAAACAAACCAUCCAAAACAAAUUCAAAAAACAGUAUCUAGUUCAAUUAUUACAGUUAGAAAUAAAAAUACUAAGAUAAACCUACAAUAACCUAUAUUAACCCUAACUAUGCUCUACCCGAUGCAUAGGGCCUUCAUCACUAAUGUCCUUCGCGUACAAGAUACUUUGGGGUAUUUCCUGGUGAAUAAAUACAAAUGGUCUCGGGGCAUUCCCCGGCUAAAUCAAUACAUUCUUUCAAUGUGAGAAAACCAAAAUAUUUCAAACAUUCAACGACCACAAUCCUAAUGUUUUCCCUACCUGACCUACUAUUUGCUUACUUAUUUUGAUUUAUCAAGAUUCUAUCACAUUCAAUAUCAUCAAAGAAUCAAAAUUAAUCCAAAUACACUUUAUCAAGAUUAACCCCUCCCGAAUUCAUUUCAACCACACAAUUAACCAAUUUCAAUAUAGAAUUAACCCAUCAGGCCACGUCAAUUAUAGAAGCUCAAAUAUACUCAAAACACACUACCAAAUCACAUUAUCAAUCACGAUGAGAUAAUAGAAAGGAGUAGAGUUGAGAAUUGGACCUUAAAAGAAGCUUUCAAAAUCAAAGUAUUAUUCCGAUUUAAAGGUAGAAUGCGCUUCCGAUAACCACAACUCAAACCUCAGCCAAAGAAACCGCAUCCCAAUACUAACCCCUUAAAUUGACAAUUCGACCUCAAACUUUGUUUUUCCCAAACAAGAUUAUUUUUUUAUCUAUUUUUGAUGCCAACAUUAAUUAGUAUUAUUACUUUUUGGUGGAUUUCAUUGAAAGUUAGAAACGGGAGUCGGGUUAUGUCAUUUUUGGUGGGUUUAGCCACUGAUUUCUGGUGGAUUCCAAAAUAGUGUGGAGAUGGGUUACUAUUCUCUGCUUCGUCGGAGCUCCGGAAAGCUCAACAGUAGCAAGAAGCAGAGAAAGAAACUGGUGGUAGCAAAUUUUUUCAGUGAAAACUCGUCGGAAGAAUCUCUCUCAUAUUUCCUCUCUGUUUCGCUCAAUUCUUUCUUUUUUCCCUCGAUUUUAGCUCUCUUCUCUGACUGGUGUAUAGUUAUGAACUGUGUAUGUAUAUGUUCAAAAAAUAGAAUUGUGUGUGUAUUCCCCUAUUCUCCAUAUCUGUGUGUGCCUAUAUUAAUGUGUUAGUGUUGUGUGUGAAUUUUUUGUGGGUAUUUAAGCUGUGAGAGUGAAGCUGUGUAUGUGAUUCAGUGUAUUUCGAGUGUGUGUAGUGAGGUAAGUCUAUUAGAAUUGUGAUAGUUUUUCUUUCUAGGUAUUUGUGAGGUGUAUAUAUUUUAUUGUGUGUGUUUGUUGUGAGUAUUGUGUGUCUAUAUAUGUUCCAGUGAGUGUGAGUGUGUAUACGUACAACUGUAUGUAUAUGAAAGUCAAGGGGUGUGUGUAUUGUAUGGUGUAUUUUUGUUAAUUAAAUGGUUGAUCUUGGGUGUAUUUAUACGCCUAAGCACCAUAACUUAUCCAUAUUUUAGCUAUGUUUAGAGAAUAAAGUGCCUAGUUUUUUUUUAUGUUUUUACUCUACUUCUAUGUAACUGAGCUAACCGAUGUGAUUAGCAUGAUUUUAGGUACUAAUGAGGUAGAUGAAGACAUUAUGGGACUAUGAAAUGCGGAUGGCAUAUGACACAAGAGAGAGUAGCAAUCUGGACCAAAUGUGGCGCCUAGAAACUAUGUCCAAGACUAGUUUGUCAUUUAUAAUUAGUUUAGGGACUUAGAAGGCAAUUAUGAGAGAAGAGAUUAUUAAAAGGCUUAAUGCUGAGUUUUUAUUCAAUUAUUCAUUAUUCUGUAUUAUUCUGAGAGAGGAGAAAGGCGGCUUAGCUUGAGGGGAGAGAGAGAAACGUUUUUCUCUCUUGUUUUCACUAUUCGUACACCAAGAUCGUCUUCUAGUUUUUGGUAUGAUGAAUAUUUCUAUGGUGAUUUUUGUUUUAUUUAUGAAUAGCUAAGUUUAUUAGUUAGGGUUAUGGAAGCCUUGUAGCAUACAAUCUAUUACUUUGGGUUUUGAAUUCAUUAUGCAUAGAUUUGUUUACAUCAUACUCUCUUCGUUUAUUUUGAAUUCUCGUGGUUGCAAACAUAGAGGAUGUUCCUUAAAACACAACUUGUUUGAGAGAAAGGUUGUUGUUCGGAAAAGAGAGUAGUGACAAGAAAAUAGGAUUUCCAAUCCCUAUUUCAUAUGUUAAUGCCUUAGCAGGAUUAACUACUUGGAGAUUUCGUAUUGUUUUUGGUGAACGUUUUUUAUUCGAGAGAACUAAAGUGAAUUAGUCCUUGAUGGUUGAGAAACACUAGGAUUAUGUUAUUAAAUAUAAUACAUUUCUCUGUAAGCACAAUGCAUGUAUGAAUUCAUAAAGCCCAUAGUUAGUAAGUAUUGAAAACUACAAGGUGGACAUAACCCUAGUUUGCUAUUUCUCUGAAUUUGAAUACUACUACACAUAUUCAUCUUGUUAAACUAAAAUCAUUAAUUUGUGAACUGAAUCAAAUUCCCCCUAUUUAUUUUACGGAAAUGAACGAUUAAAAGUCAACUAAUCUGUAUACAACUUAAUUAACACCAUAGUUCCUGUGGGAUUCGACCCCAACCUAGUUGGGUUAUAUAUUUGACAACAACCGCUUACUCUCUCGUAAGAGAGGUGUAAUUUGAGCGUUAUCAAUGGUGAGCUGAAAAAAACUCCCCUCAUUCUAUUAUUAAAAGUGUAUGUGUAAAAUGUGAGGGGGUAAGGGUAGGGGUAAGCACGUGGGUAAGGGUGGGGUAGGGCAAGGUUGUUAUUUUUUGUAAUGAAUUUGUUGAGAGUUGGCUAAUUUUGUUCUUUUGUAGAAAAAUUAUCACAUGGGGAUAGGGUACAUGGUAAGAUGAGGGUCUAUGCAUAAAAAUUCACUUUUGGGAGAGAUAAAAUUACGCGUCUACAUCAUGCCCUUCUUUAGGUGUAAACAUAUAGUGUUUUCAAACAAAGAAAUACACAACGAAAUAGAAUUUUAUCCUGACCACUAUUCAAAAGAAAGAAACAGAAGGAAGGAGGACAACCGACUCUUGAUUUUUGGCAUCCUACCUAUCCAAAGUUGUGUGGAAGUCAAGUCAUAUGUAGUUUCAGGGUUGACAAGGAGACGGACUAUGUCAAGUUGGAGAGUCAAGUAAGGUCUUGUCGAGGUUCCGAUCCGUGGUUCUGUCAUUACAUCAAAAAUAAAAUUACAAGUUUAAAGAUAACUAAUAUUACAAAAAUCCUAUAUGUGCAGCUUCUUUAGAUUCUUGACUUGACUUCCUGAUGCUUUCAAAAGUAGCAAAAGAUCUGAUCUUCCUUGGGUUGAACUUAAGAAUAGAUUCUUUCUCAUACAAAAUUUGGUGUUGGAGAUGAACUCGAAUAUUGAUCAUGUUCUUUCAUGUGGGACUUCUGAACUUUGACCUUGAAUUUGAAAGUCCUCACCCUAUUCUCCAGGCAGGCUCCUAAUUUACAAUUUCUUCACCUUGUUGCUUAAUUUUUUAUUUCUUCACUCCAUUCUCCAGAAAGGCUCCUAAAAUCACAUUAAAACUAGAAAGAAAAUUACCCCAAACAAAGGUUAUGAUAAAGAGAGAUCUCACUUUUUCUAAAAUAAAGUCUCAUUUUUCAAGAGAGUCCUAAAAUGAUGUUUCCAGUAACAUAAAUUAAAUCUUUUUUCCCAGUUUAUCAUUAGAAAACUUUUGGUGGGUGUCAAACCCAAUCAAAAUUACUUGCAAGAUGCGUAAUACAAACUCAAGACUCUGAUAAAUGAAUUCAUUUCUUGCGGAUAAGGAGGCGUGUCUCCUAUGGAUUACAUGGAAGGACUCAACUAGAAAGUGUGGCUUCUAGGAAUCAAGGCUUGAGUUAGGAAGUGCGUCACCUGACAAAUGAAAUUUGAAACACUCAAACAAGGAAGUUUGUCUCCUAAGGAUCAAGUGGAAUGACUCCACUAGAAAGUGUAUUUUAUAAGAGUCAAGGCUUAAGCAAGGAAGUAUGUCUCCUAUAGGACAAGCGGAAUGACUUGACUAGAAAGUUUGUUUUCUAGGAGUCAAGGCUUAAAUCAGGAAUUGAACCACCUAACAAGCGAAACUUAAAUACCUACAAGAAAGUGUGUCUCCUAAGGGUCAAGUAGAAUGACUCGACUAGAAAUUUUAUUUUCUAGGAGUCGAGGCUUAAGUUAGGAAAUGAAGCACCUAACAAGAAAACCUUGAAUUCCAACAAGGAAGUGUGUCUCCUAAGGGUCAAGUGGAAUGACUCGACUAGAAAGUUCAUUUUUUAGGAUUCAAGGCUUAAGUUAGAAAGUGAACCACCUAACAAGCAAAACUUGAAUACCAACAAGGAAGUGUGUCUCCUAAGGAUCAAGUGGAAUGAAUCGACUGGAAAGUUCAUUUUCUAGGAGUCAAGGCUUAAGUUAGGAAGUGAACCACUUAACAAGUGCAACUUGAAUACCAAUAAAGAAGUGUGUCUCCUAAGGGUCAAGUGGAAUGACUCGACUAGAAAGUUCAUUUUCUAGGAGUCAAGGCUUAAGUUAGGAAGUGAACCACCUAACAAGAGAAACUUGAAUACCAACAAGGAAGUGUGUCUCUUAAAGGUCAAGUAGAAUGACUCGACUAGAAAGUUCAUUUUCUAGAAGUCAAGGCUUAAUUUAAAAAGUGCAUCACCUAAUAAAUGAACUUAACUUACCCAAACAAGGAAGUGUGUCUCCUAGAGAUAUUGGAUUGUGAGUUUUUACCAUGGUUUUGAUUACCAAACCUGUGUAGCAAUACUGCCUCUUGCAUUUGCAAAAGUAAGGCAAUGUGUCUUUUGAUAUUUCAAGCUCUAAAGCCCUUAAUUUGAAGGUAACAUGUGUUUCUAUUUUAUACAAAGAAAACUUACGAGUUUAAAAACACGGUGGUUGGAUUGCGACUUUAUCUUUUGAGGUAAUUGCUCUUGCACUUGUCACCUCUAAUUUUGCUUUCAUCUAUUGACAUAUCAUGGUCUUGCUGUGCCAUUGAUCCAAAUUCAAAUUAUUAAGAGUGACUCUAAAACAAACACAGUAUAUCUACUUUGCUAUGUUUCUCAGAUAAUCCCUGGUAUUUUUAUGAAUCCCCUAAAUUUGUUUGUUGACAACAACUUUAUGCAUGCCUUGUUCAGAUUUACGAUUAUGCUUCUUUCAUGUGUUGGCCUUUUUUCUUGCUUUGCAAUUGAAGAAGUUGGUAGCUAGUUUUGGAAUCUUUUCUCGCUUGCUUUAACAUUGAAUUGACUUAAAUACACAAGAAAAAUAACCUUUUAUUUGAAUAGAGGACUCAAGAAAACAAAAAUAGAAAUAUAGAGAAGAAAGAAAAGACAAUGAAUGUCUCUAUUGAAAUAGAUAAAAGAAAAUUUUCUCUAAAGAUGACAGUCAGCUCUAAUGAUUAUGACAUGCAUUUGGAUUGAACUGCCCGAUCUUUCCAUCCAAACUCUCACCAAUUGUUGUUUUUUUGACAACCUUGACACGGAGUUGCUUCCUUAAGUCAAUUACACUUAUAGAACUCAUUCAGCUAGUGACACCUUGAAGGGUUUUCAUCAAUAAAUCUUUCUCAUUUUAUUUCACUCAGCUCACCUUUGCCUUACAGUGCCCUUGAGGGUUUUCACUUAUAAGGCUCUCUCAUUUUUAUCUCUCAACUUUCCACCACCUUACGGUUCCUAUGAGGAUUUUCACCAAUAAGACUCUCUCAAUUUUAUUUCUCUUAACUAAUUCCUCAUGCUGAGGAAGACAAGUAGUCCAAAUGCGUCUUAUCCGUUACAUGCUUAGACUCAACAUUCUCAAAUAUUGAUCUGAAGGUAUUUCUUUGGUUGUAACUUAGCUUCCAGAUAGGGUUAGAAAGAAAGGAUGGUAUGAGGCUCAAACAACACUUGAAGUGGGGUGACACUUACAACUUUUAGAAUCAACUCAAACAACAAAGAUUAACUUAUUCCCCAGUUUCUUAUGAUUGGAUAAUUCUAAAUUAUUUAUUUGGUUGAACCAAACCUAGAGCAGCGCUGCCUACGUAUCUCACACUCAAAAGAGGAGAAUCAGGUCAAACAUAAUUUCGACAACUUGUUACUUUGCUUAGCUCUCGUUCCUUUCCUUUUUCCUUUUUAUUGACUCUUUUACUUUUUGGGACUUUUCUGACUCUAUUUUUCUUGGCACUCAUCACUUUUCUUUCUUUUUGACAUAUUUUUCUUUUUUUUUUUUGAAACCUUUCUGACUCUAUUCUUUUACUGGCCACAUUUUUUUAACUUUGCUAACUCUAUCUUGAUUCCAAAAGAGGGGUAUGAAAGAAAAUAGAACUAAAUCUCAAAUUAGGUAAACAAAGGAUGACCUAAUGUUUGGAUAGCAGAUUGAAAUACCUUUGUCAUAUCAAUCCUUGAAAAUACAAGUACAUAUCAUGCAAUAUGACAGUUAAAGAUGAAGAUCAUUUGUGACAUUUUUAACAACACUAAAUUUAACUGAGUCUGUGUGUCACUACUUCUUUUGCGCUUGUCCAACAUAUAACUCCACCUUUGUUGUACAUCCCUUACAUUGAAUAGCUCAUGCUUUUGUUGAGUUGGUUAUCUUUCUGUUCCUCUUGAUAUAGGAUCACACAUCCACUAUUUGACCUAAUUGAGACAUGCCUUUCAGUUGAUGACCAAGUUUUUCUUAUGAUUCUGACAAUAAUUUUCUUAAUUUUCAAAGAAGGCUUCAACUUGUCACCAAAUGUCUCAGCACUCUACCUAUUUUCUCAGAUACUUUUUUAUAACUUUAGCCCUCUGAUUCAAAGUUCAUGCUUAAACUGGUUUUUAAGAUCUAGCUGAAAGUCCCGCCAGCAUGUCAUAUCACUAGAAUCAAUAUAAAAUGUAUUAUGUAAAGAAAACAAACAAAUAACAUAUAUGUAAAACACAAAGGGAAAAGGGACACUCUAUUUAGUUGAAAUAAAAGAUAGAAGGGUUUGAACAUAAAUGACAAGGGACAAAACAAGAUAGAUCCCAAACUACAAUCCUGAAAUAAUUCGAAUAACAGAAAAGAAAAUAAAACAAACUACCAAACCCCUUCAUAGUAAGGAGAGGAGUGACUUUCUAAUUGUUGAGUCUGACCUUUUAGCUACUGGUUUGCACAUCAACAUGACUAUAACUUUCACCACUAUCAAUGUUCUUCACUAUAAUCGAUUUAUCUUGAAUCAUCUUUUCGAUUUCUCUUUUUAAAGCACGACAAUCUUCAAUACUGUGACCCUGAACAUCGAAAUGAUAUGCACAUCGUAUAUUAGGAUCAAAAUAUCUUAAAUAUAGGCCAGGAGUAUACCCAAGAAGAGGAGUGAUCAUGCUCGACUUUACCAAUCUCUUGAAUAAACUAACAUAUGGCUCUCCAAUUAGUGUGAAACUAUCCCUUGACUUUUGCCUCAUUUCAUUAUUUGGCUUAUAUCAAAAAUCGAGCCUAGAAGGGCUUUAGUAUGUUUGUGAAUUUAAAAGAUGACUCUGAGGAAUUGAUGUGUGCGAUGGGAGUUGAAUAUAUGGUUGUGUAUUUUAUACUGGAUAUGAAGGUAGGGGAAUAGAGUAUAAUGGAUUUUGGGAGUGAUUAUGUACAGCUUGGGGUAUGAUCUUAGGCUUGAGCCUGAGGGUAACGAUGAUGUGGUUUUCUUGAUCAUGUCCAUUGUCCAACUACAAUAGCAGAUGCAUCUUCCCUAUUUUUCUUUCCUCCAACACUUUCUGAACCCUUUUGAAUUGCUUGAGUAGUUGUUUUCAAUGUUACAAAACUCACAAUGCGACCAGUCUUAAUUCUAUCCUCUAUCAUCUCCCCCAUGUUAAGGACCUCAAUAAAUGGCCUACCUAAUGCAGGUAACAACUACUGAUAAUAUGUUUCAUUUUGUGCUUGAAUAAAUACCUUCAAUAUCUUGCUUUCUAUAAUUUGCGAUUUCACCCUAGCAGCUUGUUCGCUCCAUCUAAUCACAUAUUCUAUGAAAUUUUCAGUACUCUUCUUUUUCAUAUUAGUUAGGAAUUUCUCAUCAGGAAUCAACACCACAUUGUAUUGAAAUUAUUGCAAAAAUUUAUUAGCUAGGUCAUCCCAACUAUUCAACUUAUCAAUGUCUUGGUUAACAAACUAUUUUAAAGCUAAGCCUAAAAAACUCUCACCUAAAUAAGCCAUUAGUAAUUUUUCCUUCCCUCCAGCGCCCCUUAGUUGGUUACAAUAACGUCUCAAAUAGGCCACUGGAUCUCCAUGUCCAUCAUAUUUUUCAAAAUUUGGUAUUUUGAAACCAAGAGAGAGAUUAACACCUAGAAACAUACACAGAACUUUAUACGAUACACUUUUAUAACCCCCAAGCCCCUGCAAGUUUCUCAUGGCUUGUUCCAAACUUUUUACUUUUCUAGUCAUUUCAUUUUGUUCUUCUAUCACAAUGGGCUUUUCAGCAUUAAAAGAAAGUUCAAGCAGUUGAAUGUCGCCAUAAGGACCAGUCAACUUAGAUGUGGGCUCAAGAGUAUAAUGCUGAUACCAGAAAUAUUCAAUACAGGCUCUUUUGUACAGCUUGGGGUAUGAUCUUGGGCUUGAGCUUGAGGGUAACGACGAUGUGGUUUUCUUGAUGAUGCCCAUUGUCCAACUACAAUAGCAGAUGCAUCUUUCCCAUUUUUCUUUCCUCCAACACUUUCUGAACUCUUUUGAAUUGCUUGAGUAGUUGUUUUCAAUGUUGCAAAACUCACAAUGCGACCAGUCUUAAUUCUAUCCUCUAUCAUCUCCCCCAUGUUAAGGACCUCAAUAAAUGGCCUACCUAAUGCAGGUAACAAGUACUGAUAAUAUGUUUCAUUUUGUGCUUGAAUAAAUACCUCCAAUAUCUUGCUUUCUGUAAUUUGUGAUUUCACCCUAGCAGCUUGUUCACGCCAUCUAAACACAUAUUCUCUGAAAUUUUCAGUACUCUUCUUCUUCAUAUUAGUUAGGAAUUUCUCAUCAGGAAUCAACUCCACAUUGUAUUGAAAUUAUUGCAUAAAGUUAUUAGCUAGGUCAUCCCAACUAUUCAACUUAUCAAUGUCUUGGUUAACAAACUAUUUUAAAGCUAAGCCUGAAAAACUCUUAGCUAAAUAAGCCAUUAGUAAUUCUUCCUUCCCUCUAGUGCCCCUUAGUUGGUUACAAUAACGUCUCAAAUAGGCCACUGGGUCUCCAUGUCCGUCAUAUUUUUCAAAAUUUGGUAUUUUGAAACCAAGAGAGAGAUUAACACCUGGAAACAUACACAAAACUUUAUACGAUACACUUUUAUAACCCCCAAGCCCCUGCAAGUUUCUCAUGGCUUGUUCCAAACUUUUUACUUUUCUAGUCAUUUCAUUUUGUUCUUCUAUCACAAUGGGCUUUUCAGCAUUAAAAGAAAGUUCAAGCAGUUGAAUGUCGCCAUAAGGACCAGUCAACUUAGAUGUGGGCUCAAGAGUAUAAUGCUGAUACCAGAAAUAUUCAAUACAGGCUCUUUUGUACAGCUUGGGGUAUGAUCUUGGGCUUGAGCUUGAGGGUAACGACGAUGUGGUUUUCUUGAUCAUGCCCAUUGUCCAACUACAAUAGCAGAUGCAUCUUUCCCAUUUUUCUUUCCUCCAACACUUUCUGAACCCUUUUGAAUUGCUUGAGUAGUUGUUUUCAAUGUUGCAAAACUCACAAUGCGACCAGUCUUAAUUCCAUCCUCUAUUAUCUCCCCCAUGUUAAGGACCUCAAUAAAUGGCGUACCUAAUGCAGGUAACAAGUACUGAUAAUAUGUUUCAUUUUGUGCUUGAAUAAAUACCUCCAAUAUCUUGCUUUCUAUAAUUUGCGAUUUCACCCUAGCAGCUUGUUCACGCUAUCUAAUCACAUAUUCUCUAAAAUUUUCAGUACUCUUCUUUUUCAUAUUAGUUAGGAAUUUCUCAUCAGGAAUCAACACCACAUUGUAUUGAAAUUAUUGCAAAAAGUUAUUAGCUAGGUCAUCCCAACUAUUCAACUUAUCAAUGUCUUGGUUAACAAACCAUUUCAAAGUUAAGCCUGAAAAACUCUCACCGAAAUAAGCCAUUAGUAAUUCUUCCUUCCCUCCAGCGCCCCUUAGUUGGUUACAAUAACGUCUCAAAUAGGCCACUGGGUCUCCAUGUUCGUCAUAUUUUUCAAACUUUGGUAUUUUGAAACCAAGAGAGAGAUUAACACCUGGAAACAUACACAGAACUUUAUGCGAUACACUUUUAUAACCCCCAAGCCCCUGCAAGUUUCUUUUGGCUUGUUCCAAACUUUUUACUUUUCUAGUCAUUUCAUUUUGUUCUUCUGUCAAAAUGGGCUUUUCAGCAUUAAAAGGAAGUUCAAGCAGUUGAAUGUCGCCAUAAGGACUAGUCAACUUAGAUGUGGGCUCAAGAGUAUAAUGCUGAUACCAGAAAUAUUCAAUACAGGCUCUUUUGUACAGCUUGGGGUAUGAUCUUGGGUUUGAGCUUGAGGGCAACGGCGAUGUGGUUUUCUUGAUCAUGCGCAUUGUCCAACUACAAUGACAGAUGUAUCUUCCCUAUUUUUCUUUCCUCCAACACUUUCUGAACCCUUUUGAGUUGCUUGAGUAGUUGAUUUCAAUGUUGCAAAACUCACAAUGCGACCAGUCUUAAUUCUAUCAUCUCCCCCAUGUUAAGGAACUCAAUAAAUGGCCUACCUAAUGCAGGUAACAAGUACUGAUAAUAUGUUUCAUUUUGUGCUUAAAUAAAUACCUCCAAUAUCUUGCUUUCUAUAAUUUGCGAUGUUACCCUAGCAGCUUGGUCACGCCAUCUAAACACAUAUUCUCUUAAAUUUUCAGUACUCUUCUUCUUCAUAUUAGUUAGGAAUUUCUCAUCAGGAAUCAACACCACAUUGUAUUGAAAUUAUUGCAUAAAGUUAUUAGCUAGGUCAUCCUAACUAUUCAACUUAUCAAUGUCUUGGUUAACAAACUAUUUUAAAGCUAAGCCUGAAAAACUCUCACCUAAAUAAGCCAUUAGUAAUGCUUUCUUCCCUCCAGCACCCCUUAGUUGGGUACAAUAACGUCUCAAAUAGGCCACUGGGUCUCUAUGUCCGUCAUAUUUUUCAAAAUUUGGUAUUUUGAAACCAAGAGAGAGAUUAACACCUGGAAACAUACACAGAACUUUAUACGAUACACUUUUAUAACCCCCAAGCCCCUGCAAGUUUCUCAUGGCUUGUUCCAAACUUUUUACUUUUCUAGUCAUUUCAUUUUGUUCUUCUAUCACAAUGGGCUUUUCAGCAUUAAAAGAAAGUUCAAGCAGUUGAAUGUCGCCAUAAGGACCAGUCAACUUAGAUGUGGGCUCAAGAGUAUAAUGCUGAUACCAGAAAUAUUCAAUACAGGCUCUUUUGUAUAGCUUGGGGUAUGAUCUUGGGCUUGAGCCUGAGGGUAACGACGAUGUGGUUUUCUUGAUCAUGCCCAUUGUCCAACUACAAUAGCAGAUGCAUCUUCCCCAUUUUUCUUUCCUCCAACACUUUCUGAACCCUUUUGAAUUGCUUGAGUAGUUGUUUUCAAUAUUGCAAAACUCACAAUGCGACCAGUCUUAAUUCUAUCCUCUAUCAUCUCCCCCAUGUUAAGGACCUCAAUAAAUGGCCUACCUAAUGCAGGUAACAAGUACUGAUAAUAUGUUUCAUUUUGUGCUUGAAUGAAUACCUCCAAUAUCUUGCUUUCUGUAAUUUGCGAUUUCACCCUAGCAGCUUGUUCACGCUAUCUAAUCACAUAUUCUCUAAAAUUUUCAGUACUCUUCUUCUUCAUAUUAGCUAGGAAUUUCUCAUCAGGAAUCAAUUCCAUAUUGUAUUGAAAUUAUUGCAAAAAGUUAUUAGCUAGGUCAUCCUAACUAUUCAACUUAUCAAUGUCUUGGUUAACAAACCAUUUUAAAGCUAAGCCUGAAAAACUCUCACCAAAAUAAGCCAUUAGUAAUUCUUCCUUCCCUCCAGCGCCCCUUAGUUGGUUACAAUAACGUCUUAAAUAGGCCACUGGGUCUUUAUGUCUGUCAUAUUUUUCAAACUUUGGUAUUUUGAAACCAAGAGAGAGAUUAACACCUGGAAACAUACACAGAACUUUAUACGAUACACUUUUAUAACCCCCAAGCCCCUGCAAGUUUCUUAUGGCUUGUUCCAAACUUUUUACUUUUCUAGUCAUUUCAUUUUGUUCUUCUAUCACAAUGGGCUUUUCAGCAUUAAAAGAAAGUUCAAGCAGUUGAAUGUCGCCAUAAGGACCAGUCAACUUAGAUGUGGGCUCAAGAGUAUAGUGCUGAUACCAGAAAUAUUCAAUACAGGCUCUUUUGUAGAGAAGGGAGGCACAGAAGGUAGAUGCACAACAAAAGGAGGAGCUUUGGGUGGGUCUGGCACCACAAAAGUAUGAAUAACAAGUGGAGCUGAGUAUGUGGUAGUUUCGUGUUGAGGAUCUAGGAAAUGAAUAUUAGAAGUGUUGGGAUAAUAGUAUUGCUCCUGAGUGAAUCCUAGUGCAUGUUAAGGAGUGUCAACAAAAAUAGGGCAUUGUUCAUGUGACACUGAAGUCAAGAUAGAAAGAUAAUCCAGAUUAUCAGUGGGAAAUGGAGGACGCGGCAACCCAUUAGCCCAAGCUCGAUGUAUUUCUAUCAUUUGCUGCCUUAAUUUCUAAAUCUCUUCAUUAGCUCCUAAAUUCUCAUUCCUCAAACUCCCUAUCUAAUUAGUGACUACAACCUUAGUAUCCUUGUUGACCAUAACUUUCUUUUCAACUUGGUGCAAUAUGAAGUACCAGCCAAAAUGCCACAAACCAACCACCUUAAACUAACUGAACAAGAGAUAGAAAAUGUGUUUGAGUUCAACACUUCCUAAAAAAACUCAUUUUCUUUUAUCUUCUUUUAGAAAAGAUCACCGGCCCAAGAAGGGCACAUACGUAUCUCACUUUCGAGAGAGGAGAAUCAGGUAUGCCUAGUUCAUGAAGUUUUGACACAACAUGACCAAUCAAACUCUCUUUCUUUUUCUUAAAACUAAAUAACAAAUUAUAAAAAGAAUUGAUGAAAAUCUUUUUGUAUUUUUCAGCCUUAAAACUUCAAUAAAAAAUGAAACCUAUAAAUACAAAAGAAAAUCUUUUUGGUUUUUCGAUUUUGAAUUUCAGACGAAAAUGAAACUUGAAACUAUUAAAGGAAAUUUUUUUGUAGUUUUCUUUAAAAUAUGUAUAUGACACCUACUCUAAAUGAAGAGUGAAGAAAAUCUUUUUGGAUUUUCCAAAUAAGAUCACCGAACCUUAGAAGGGUUGCCUACGUAUCUCACUCUCGAAAGAGGAGAAUUAGGUGUGCGUAGUUCAUCCAGAUCAGACAAUUAAAGAUUAAACAAACUAAGCCUUGACUUAAGAGACACGACCAAAGACAGACAAUAAAAAAUAUGAAUAAAAUCUUUUUUGGGUUUUUAAUUUGACACUUCACAUAAAACUGACACCAACAACUAUGAAAGAAAAAAUCUUUUUGGUAUUUUCGUUUUAUAAAAUGUACAAAACUUCUACCAUCUUUUUUGCAUUUUUUCUUUUAUAAAAAGCUCCUAUUUAAAAAAAAUAUUUUUAAAUUUUCGAAUUAUGAAUGCCUACUAAGAGAACAAAAGAAAAAUCUUUUUUUAAUAUUUUUUUUUUUGAGAAAAUGAGUGAAAAAGGUAAAAAAAACUCGUUUUUUUUGAAUUUUUGAAUUGUAAAAAACAAAUGAAGAACUCUAAAAACUACGAAACUCUUUUUUUACUCACUUUUUCUUUCUUUUUCCUCUUUUUUUUUUGAAAUUUUCCUAGCCUAAACACAAUCUUUAAUUCUAUACAUUCUUUCCCCAAAUCAGUACGUCAAAUGACCCUGUUACCCUCAAAGAUGCAACAGUUAGCAUGUAGGGAUGCUUUAGGGGUCUCCUACAAAGGACUAAGCGGAUCCCCCUAGGUCUCAAUAUGAUGCAGAUAAGAAUGACCUAAAGGCUGACCGAGGUUGGGGUUCACUAACAAAGCUGUUCGAUGGAGCGUAUGAUCGAUAGUAGCUACGACAACUUUCCACCUUCUCCGUACACCCAACGACCUUUCUCCUAAAAUAAGGGUGACUCAACUAAAGGUUGUGUACACACGUGUACUAUGUGAUUUGUUGCAAAAAAUGACUUGAGAUAAUGCACAUGAUGCCAGAUAUAAAACGGUAAAACAUAAGAGAAAAACUAUAAACACGUAGCACGUAAGCACUCAACAAUGAUAAAACAAUAACACCAAUAAUAAUAGAAUGUCUAUACACCUAUAGUGUCAAAUUAAGUCAAUACAACUCAAAAAUAAGCUUGAAUUCUAGAAAACUUCUCUAGCAGAGUCACCAGAGCUGUCAUACCCCUCUUUUUUUUUUACCAAAAAAGGAUAUAAUUAAGUUUGAAAAGGGUAUCAUAAUUAAAAAUGACAAAAAGGAACAAAAUAUGUUUAGGAAAGGAUUUUAAAAUUUGAAUUCAGAGUCGCCACUUGAAAUAGAUUUGGUGUGCCAAGUCACCUUUAGAAAUCCUUUUCAAAAUCAAUUUGACUCUCAAAAACUGAUCUGCAAAUAGAGAUUCUGAUUAAGGAAUUAUGUAGACUGAAGGAAGUUGUUAGGCAUCCCUCGAUCCUGUGGUUCUAGCAUGGUCGCUUCUUGACUUGUAUCGGCUAAUAUGACAUCAUGAAGUGAAUAAACCACAUAAAACACACAAAAUGAAUAAACAAAGAAACCACAUAAAACAAAUCCAAAAAUUAGUGUCCAGUCUAAUUAUUACAGUCCAAAACAAAAAUGCUAAAAUAAACCUAUACUAACCCUGAACUAUGCUCUACCUGAUGCCUCGGGGCAUUUCCCGGCUAAAUGAAUACAUUCUUUCAAUGAAAGAAAAUCAAAAUCAUUUAACAAAUAUUUCAAACAUUCAACGACCACAAUCCCUAUGUUUUGCCUACCUGACCUACCGUUUGCUUACUCAUUUCGAUUUAUGAUACAGGACAAAGAAGACUCUUAAAUUUUGAGGACAUGAUUGGAGGCCAAUGCAUUGAGACCCGAUCUUGGGAGAUACCCAACCAAGAAGGACAAGCCUUGAAGUGUCAAGAGGACAUUUCAAAAUACUCCAAGCCUACCCAAUUCUACAUGCCAAAGCAGCCCCUUUGCCAUGGCUCAUUAAGGGAAUUUUAGUAGUUUUGUAAUAAGUUGUAACCCAGAUUAUAAAUAGAAUAUGAUAGGUUAUUUAGUCCACAACUUUGAUGAUAUAUUUGAGAACUCUAGAGAGAGUCUUGCAAGGUGGAUUCCUUGUAAAAUGUGGAAUCACUUGUGUUGGUAGUUAGUUUGAGACGUUGAUUGCUUGGGGAACCCAUUCUCUUGAAUUCACGUAAGAGAUAGGUUUAUGUUGUGUGUGGUAUUAAAGGUCCUAGAGUGGAAUAAGAUCUUGGGUUGUUAAUAUUAUACCAUCCAUUUGUCUAUCUUCCUAUCUUUGUCUUUUUGUAAUCUUGUAACCGAUUCUAUGUUGUUAUUGUAAAGUCGUGCACGUGUUGUUGUUCUUCACAUUGUUAUUUUUCAUUUUUAUCUUCAUAAAUUAUUGUUAACAUUAGCUGUGGUUCGGGUUUUGGUGCCAAAGACACCACUAAUUCUUGUAUUCUUGUUGUUGGUAGCGAAUUCGAGAGUGGUCUCUUUCUUGGUCCUCGAAUCCUUAAGAUUAUGGACUGAUUUGGUGUAUAUUUUUGUGUCUUCCUUAUCGAUUUUGUAUCAAUUUAUCAAGAUUCUAUCACAUUCAACAUCAUCAAUGAAUCAUAAUUAAUCCAAAUACACUUUAUCGAGAUUAACCCCUCCCAAAUUUAUUUUCAACCACACGAUUAACCAAUUUCAAUAUAGAAUCAAUCCAUCAGGUCACGACAAUUAUAAAAGCUCAAAUAUACUCAAAACACACUACCAAAUCACAUUAUCAACCACGCUGAGAGAAUAAAAAUGAGUAGAGUUGAGAAUUGAACCUUAAAAGAAUCUUUCAAAAUUAAAGUAUUAUUCUGAUUUAAAGGUAGAAUCUACUUCUGAUAACCAUAACUCAAACCUCAACCAAUGAAACUGCAUCUCGAUACGAACCACCAAAUUGACAAUUCGAUCUCAAACUUUGUUCUGCCCAAACCCGAUUAUUUUUUAUCUAUUUUUGACGUCGACAUUGACAAGUAUUAUUAUUUUUUGGUGGAUUUCACCGGAAGUUGGAAAUGGGAGUCGGAUUAUGAUGUUUUUUGGUGGGUUUUGCCACUGAUUUUUGAUGUAUUUUGAAAUAGUAUGGAGCUGUUUUACUAUUCUCUACUUUGCCAGAGCUCCGACAAGAUCAACAGUAGCGAGAAUCAAAGAAAUAAACUGGUGGUAGCAAAGUUUUUCAAUGAAAACUCAUCGGAAAAAUCUCUCUCACAUUUUCUCUCUGUUUCAUUCUAUUCUCUCUUUUUUUCCUCGAUUUCAAUUCUCUUCUCCGAUGGGGUGUGUAGUUAUGAACUGUGUGUGCAUAUGUCAACAAAAAAUUGAAUUGCGUGUGUAUUCCUCUAAUCUCCACAUCUGUGUGUGCCUAUAUUGGUGUGUUAGUGUUGUGUGUGAAUUUUUUGUGGAUAUUGAAGCUAUGAGAGUGAAUUUAUGUAUGUGAAUCAGUGUAUUUUGAGUAUAUGUGUAGUGAGGUAAGUCUGUGAGAAUUGUGAGAGAUUUUUUUUUUGGGUAUUUGUGAGGUGUAUAUAUUCUAUUGUGUGUGUUUGUUGUGAGUAUUAUGUUUUUAUAUAUGUUCCAGUGAGUGUGAGUGUGUAUAUGUACAACUUUCUGUAUAUGAGAUUUAAGGGGUGUGUUUAUUAUAUGGUGUAUUUUUGUUAAUGGAAUGGUGAGCUAAAAAAAAGUUUUCCUCAUUCUAUUAUUGGAAGUGUGUGUGUAAAAUGUGAGGGGGUAAGAACGUGAGUAGGAGUGGGAUAGGGGUAGGUUGUUAUUUUUUGUUAUGAAUUUAUUGAGAAUUGAUUGUUCUUUUGUGGAAAAAUUAUCACAUGGGGGUAAGGUUCAAGGUAAGACGAUGGUAAAUGCCAAAAAGUUCUCUUUUGGGAGGGAAAAAAUUAUGUGUCUACAGAUAAAGAUUAUAAAAGAAAAGAUCAAAGAUCAAAGAACUUACGCAACUUCAAGAAAGAAUCUCAGUGUGUCUCAAUCUUAGUCUCACAAAGCUUUGUACUUCUUAGUUUACAAUAGUUAUACAAAGAAUAAGAUUGAUUCAAUUUUAUAAUAUAAACUGAGGCCGUUUCACAAGAUCUGAAAAAUAAAAUAAUUCUUCAGGACUUGUUUACCACCAUUGUACUCGAGCUCCACUUUGAUAGAUCUAAGAAAACUUUAAAACCCAAGGGGACUGAAAGUAGGCACCACAUUGGUAUUCUGAACUAGGAUAAAUCUUUGUGUUUUCUAUUUCAAGUUGUUUAUUUACUUAUCUACUUAUUUAAAUCUAAUCUGGUUUGUGAAGUAUAUUGAUUUGCAGGAUAGUCGAUUGAGAAGACUCAACAGUUGACUCAUAGAAAUUUUUAAUUCACCCCCCAUCUCUUGAACUUCAUAUAUAACGUUGAUACACUUUUAAACAUUAUAUAUACAUAUGCAUAUAUUUGUAUAAUUUUGUAUAUUAUUGUGUAAUUGUAUAUAUACCCCUGAUAUAUACAAAAUUAUAAGAGUUGUAUAAUAUAUGCAUAUACAGUACUAUACAAAUAUUAUACAAAAAUUUUGAAUUUUUCUUCUUUAUUUAUUCAAAAAAAUAAAUUAACCUUGCCAAGCUCGAAACACUCAAAAUAAAGUUUAUUUGUCUAUUUCAUUUCCCCAAUACAUACUCAUUCUUUUGAAUCAACACACACUUGAAACAAAGCUUGUUUGCAAAAUCGAUGGAUCACUUGAUACGAGAAUUUCUAGCUCGAGACCUUUCACACGAAGCCAAGCGCGUGAGUUGCAACGACUCCAAGCCUUGUUCACAUCCUUGGCCUUGUGUGAGGCCCUUAUGAGCCCAUCCAAGGGCCUAUACUUAUUAAAAUAUGAAGAGGCCCAACAAAAUACCCCAAACCCACCCACUUAAUGCCAAGGGUAUUUUGGUUUUUUGUCCCUCCUUUGUAAUUGACUAUACAAGUCAUUUGUUAGGGCUAGUCUUGUGGUAGUUCAUUCAUGAUAUUUUGAGAACUCAAGACUUGUAAUAUUUUGAACUUUUCUCUUUCAUUGGAGAAGCUCAAAACUGAAAUUCCCAAUUGGAGUGACACUUGGGUUGAAUCUUGGCUAGAAACUAGGAUCUUGAGGUCAUUGAGUUCCUCUUGGUCUAAUUAAGAGCUUGGUGAUAAUAUUCUUUAAUCUUAGGGUCCUUUCAUGUUGUUAGGGUUCUUAGAUUCUUGAUUAUUAUAUGUCAAGUUACUAUCUUUAAUUUUGUAAUCUUGUUGUUUGUGUGGUAACAUAGUGAAGCCGUGUGGGGCUAUUUUCGAUUCACUAUAGUUUAUGCCACUUUGUUUCUCUUGUUGUUGUCAUUGUAAUCUAUAUCAUCUUGUCAUUUUUGUAAAUCUUGAAGUCUAGUGAAGCCGUGUGUGGCCUAUUUCGAUUCACUGGCAUUGUUGUUGUUUAUCUUGUUAUUCUUGUGUUGGCUUGACUCUCUUGAUACACACUCGCUUUUGUAUCAUUUAGUAUCAAAUCCAUAUUCGAUUUUGUUUUAACAAGAUCAAUCUUGGUCUUGGUACUUGAAAACUACAAAAAAAAACUGAAAACUAAAAAAUUCCAGAAACAGUCAAAUCUGUCCGUUGUUGUGUUCUUGAUCAAAAAUUGUAUUCUUGUUGUGUCUUGGCAAGAUUUUUAAUUGUCUUGAGUGUUGUUUCUAGUUUUAGUUCUCUUGUUCACUAAAACUUUGAGUCGAUCUAGAUUUGAACUCUAAAAAUUGAUGUUGUUAUUGUGAACUUGAACUUGGCUGUCCAUUGUUGAACAUUGUUGUUGUGGUGGAUUGUUCUGGCCGUGGUUGUUGUUGGUUGUUGUUGGUGUUCUUGUUGUUAUUCACCCUUUUCAUCUUUGUUAAAACAAAAAGUGAACAUUAGAUCCACAAAAGGUGAAACACCAAGUUGUAGUAUUUGUUGAUGAAAGACUUGAUCACAUCACUCAAAAGACUUGACAACCACUUUUCACCUAUUUUCCUUGAUUUAAGGACUUGUUUCAAGGAGAAAGUACCAAGAAGUUAAAGUCUUGUAUUAAACUUGAAAAGGAAGCUUCAAUACCAAAUUUCCCUCCAUUAACCAAUUCCACCAUUUCCAAAUUAUAGAUUGGUCAAGAAUUGAAAUUGGAGACUAAAAUUCUGACAAAAUCGAGGCCAAUAGUGGACUGCCACAUCACUAAAUUACUGUUCACACAAUAUUUUGAGUUCAAAUUUUAGAUUUCUUAGUUUCAUUUUAUUGUUUCUUAGUUUCGUUUGUUGGUUCGAACACUAAUUGACAACCUAAUACAUUCCUACUAGCUUGUUAAUUAGUCCUUUGAAGCUUUGUGUUCAUGUCAACGUUUGUUUGUGUGCUUUUGUCAUUUGAAUACGUUGUAACUCUUGGCUUUAGUCCGACAAGAAUUCUUUGAGUUUCCAACAAAAAUCCACUCCAAACAAGAGCAUACUCAUACCUUAAUGAUUCUACUAGCCAAUUUACAACACUUGUGGAGCUCGAGUGUGAGUGAACCAAAAGAGUGUGAGUGAGGAGAGGGAUUUUUAACUAACUUAUUUGUUGUUUGUGUAGGUGAUACCUUGACAAUGGAGGNNNNNNNNNNNNNNNNNNNNNNNNNNNNNNNNNNNNNNNNNNNNNNNNNNNNNNNNNNNNNNNNNNNNNNNNNNNNNNNNNNNNNNNNNNNNNNNNNNNNNNNNNAAGUGACGACUAUUAGUGGGAGGUUAGAACAAGUGGAGAGUCAAAGGAACUCUCGUCCUUCUAAUCCUCGAAAUGUUUCAUCAAGUGGACAUGAUAGAAAUUCCUCCGCCACUAUUACUCCCGAAACAUGGCCACAAUUGCCAAUUUCUUCAUUAGCUCCCCUAAAUGCCGCAAGCCAAACCACUCAUAACAUUCUAAAUCGAGACUCCAAUAGACCAACCCAUUCCCAAAUACCUCAAGUUCCGCAAGAGGUACUCGGACGUCAACUGCCUCCACAAAACCCAAACCCCCUUUCCAAGCUCCACUAAACCAAAGACCACCACCUCCAUAAAAUCCAAUUCCUCCGAAUCAAGUUCCAAAUGACCAAAACCAUCCCAUCCACCUUGAGGAAUAUGGUAGAGGGUAUUAUGAAGGGUAUGGAGCCUUUGAAGAUGCCUACAUGAGGAAAGAGGAGAUGAGAGGGGGUCAUACGAAUCCAAAGAGAUACUGAGGGUAUGGAGAAAGGGGAAAUCGACACCUAGAGAGAGAUGUGGGCAUCAAUACCAUCAAAUUGAGUCUACCUAUCUUUAAGGGUGAAAGUGACCCCGAGGUGUAUCUCGCUUGGGAAUUAGCGUGUGACAAGGUAUUCCAAGAGAAUGAUAUUUCAAAGAAGAAGAAGAGUUGUUAUGCCAUAGCCCACUUUGAAGGCUAUGCUAACACUUGGUGGGAAUACAUCAAUCGAUUUGGCAACGAGUUGAUAGAUGGGCAACCACCACCAUGGUUUCGAUUAAGGUAUCUAAUGAGGCAAUGGUACCUUUUCGAAAGUUAUCGUCAUGAGUUGUUUGCGAGGUUGUACAACUUACGACAAGGGAAUCGAAAUGUUAUGGCAUACUAUGAUGAGUUUCAAUAACUCAUGUUGAAGCUUGACCAUCGAAGAGAACAAAUCGGCCAUGACAUUAUUCGGUUCAAGUGUGGGUUGAAUAAGGAGAUUGCUACUCACUUGACUCUCCAUAAAUUUGAUACCGUUGAAGGCAUCUUUUAAGCGAUCGUUGAAAUUGAAAGAGAACUUAAGGAAAGAACAAGUUACAAAGCCAAGGGUCAAGCACCCUCGGGUUGGCCGAGGGGUAAGGAGGUUGCUUCCUCCACCACGGGUUGGCACAAAAACAAAGACCAACCCACCACUACAAGGCAACCCGAGGCCAAGGCAAUGGAAAAAUAUCCGCCAAGGCAAGAGGCUCACAAGUAUCCUAAUCCUAAGGGGUUCCAAUGUUUCAAGUGCCAAGGUUGGGGACAUAAAGCUCAUGAAUGUCCAAACCGACGCAAUGUGAUCCUAAGGUAAGGAAGAUUGUAUUACCUUGGUGAGGAAGUGGGUCUUAAAAAUGAAGAGAAUAAGGCCAAGCCUCAAGAUGGAAAGGAACCCAAAAAUGAGCCACAUGAUGAUGACAAUGAUUGUGAAGAUGCAUAUCCACAAGAAGGGGAGUGUGUGGUUCCAAACUUUGUAGUGAGGCAUGCUAUAAUUAGUAAGGCGAUAGAUGAUCCUAGCCAACGGGAGAAUCUAUUCCAUACUAAAUGUCUUGUGAAGGGAAGUGUGUGCACUAUGGUGAUAGAUAAUGGAAGUUGUGCGAAGGUGGUUAGUGUUGCAAUGGUGAACUUCUUGAAAUUGCCGACUACACCUCACACUAGUCCUUACAAGUUACAAUGGUUGAAUGAAUGCAGCGAGUUAAAGGUCACAAGGCAAUGCGUGAUACGUUUUAAGGUAGCAAACUACCAUGACGAGGUGCUUUAUGAUGUGAUACCAAUGCAAUAUUGUCACUUGUUGUUAGAAAGGCCUUGGCAAUACGAUAGGUUGACCAAACAUGAUGGAAGGUCCAAUCAAUAUACACUUGAGAAGAUAGCUGAAAGGUUGCUCUUCAUCCAUUAUUGCCUUCCCAAGUGAAUGAAUUACACCAAAAGAUGCAGGAAUUGAGGAAGAAGGGAAAGAAGGCCGAUAGUGAGGGGAAAAGAGGGGAAUCUGAGAGUGAGAGAGUAGGAGAAACCGAGGAGCUCCUAAUUUCUAAGGGAAAAGGGAGUGUGGUGAUGAUGUCUAGGAGGAAAGAACUAUUUAUGGAUCAUGACGAGGACACUCCGAUGCUUCUCUUGGCUCAUUAUUUUAAUACUAACCCCAGUAACGUUUCCAUUUCUCCUCCUAUUUCUCAUGUUGUGCAGGAUUACGAAGAUGUCUUCCCAAAGGAAUUACUAUAAGAAUUGCCCCUACUUCGGGAAAUUGAGCAUCAAAUAAAUUUUGUGCCGGGUUCACAAUUGCCCAACAAACCGUCUUAUAGGAGCAACCCGAUGGAUACCAAGAAAUUGCAAUGCUAAGUUGAGAAAAUCCACAACAAAGGGUAUAUCAAGGAGAGUAUGAGCCCUUGUGCGGUCCCGGUGCUACUAGUGCCCAAGAAAGAUAGGACUUGGCGUAUAUGUGUUGAUUGCCGAACCAUUAAUAAGAUAACGGUAAAAUAUCGUCACCCUUUCCUAGGUUAGAUGAUAUGCUUGAUGAAUUGAAUGGUUCGUGUUUGUUUUCUAAAAUUGAUUUAAGGAGUGGCUAUCACCAAAUUCGUAUGCAACCGGUGAUGAAUGGAAAACCGCCUUCAAGACCAAAUUCAGUCUCUAUGAAUGGAUGGUUAUGCUAUUCGGCCUAACAAACGCUCCAAGUACUUUCAUGAGGCUAAUGAAUCAUGUGAUGAAGCCAUUUAUUGGAAAGUUUGUUGUUGUAAUACUUUGAUGAUGUGUUGGUGUAUAGUAAGUCCUUAGAUGAGCAUGUAAAACAUUUAUAAUGUGUGUUUGAUGUCCUUCGAAAGGAGAAGUUAUAUGCCAAUCUAGAAAAGUGUUCUUUUGGUGUCCAUGAGGUUGUAUUUCUUGGGUUUGUGAUGAGCUCAAGAGGGGUCGAAGUGGAUGAAUCUAAGAUUGACACCAUUAAAAAUUGGCCAACCCCCAAAACCAUAGGUGAAGUGAGAAGCUUCCACGUGUUGGCUAGUCUUUAUAGACGUUUUGUCAAAGGAUUUAGCACCAUUUCCGCCCCCUUAACCGAAGUGAUUAAAAAGGAUCGACCUUUCAAGUGGGGAAAUGAACAAGCUAGGACCUUCGAUGACUUAAAAGCUAUGCUCAUCUUGACCCCUUUGCUACAAUUGUCGAAUUUUGACAAGACUUUUGAGGUCGAAUGCGACACUAGAAAAGUCGGCGUAGGUACGGUUCUAAUGCAAGAAUUGAAGCCUAUUGCCUACUUUAGCGAAAAGCUCAAAGGAGCAACUCUAAACUACUCUACGUAUGAUUUAGAGUUGUAUGCCUUGAUUAGAGCCUUGGCCACUUGGCAACAUUAUUUGUGGCCUAAAGAAUUCGUGAUCCGAACGGAUCAUGAAUCCUUGAAGAAUCUACGGGCACAAGACAAAAUUAACCGGCGGCAUGCCAAAUGGAUUGAAUUUCUUGAAACUUUCCCUUAUGUUAUUCAUUACAAGAAGGGUAAAGACAAUGCGGUUGCCGAUGCUUUGUCUCAAAAACAUGUGCUUGUGUCUACUUUGUCAUCUAAGUUGAUGGGGUUUGAAAGCCUCAAGUCUUAAUAGCCCGAGGACCCUCACUUCACUCCUAUCUAUAGGGAAAGUGAAGAGUUGGAUAGGGAUAAGUGGGUUACGGAUAGAGGUUCCCAUCCUUAUACCAAAUUUGAUGGAUACUUAUUUAAGUGUAGACGAUUGUGUGUUCCCUUAAGUUCGUAGAGAGAAUUGUUUGUGAGAGAAGCAUACAAUGGCGGUCUAAUGGGCCAUUUUGGGGUCGAGAAGACCCUCGGAAUUUUGGAAGAAUAAUUUUAUUGGUCUAGAAUGCACAAGGAUGUGGUCCAGAUUUGUGGCCAAUGUAUUGAGUGCAAAGGAGCCAAGUCACGGCUCCAACCCCAUGGAUUGUACACCCCGCUGUCCACCCCUUUGCAUCCUUGGCUUGACAUAACAAUGGACUUCGUGUUGGGAUUACUGAGAACUAAAAGAGGGUGGGAUAGUACUUUUGUUGUGGUGGAUCAGUUUUCCAAGACGGCUCACUUUAUUCUUUGUUCUAAAUGUAAUGAUGCACCUAGUGUAGCCUCUUUGUUUGUUGAUAAUAUUGUAAAACUUCAUGGUGUUCCGAGGACCAUAGUGAGUGAUAGAGAUUCUAAAUUUCUAAGCCACUUUUGGAAGUCUAUGUGGGGUAGGCUCGGUACUAAGUUGUUGUUUUAGACUUCAUGCCACCUACAAACCGAUGGUCAAAUAGAAAUAGUAAAUAGGACCUUAGGGUCUAUGCUAUGGUCCAUGGUUAAGGUAAAAAUGACUUCUUGGGAGGAGCAAUUACCGUUGAUUGAGUUUGCUUAUAAUCGUGUUAUACACUCAAGAACAGGGAUGACACCCUUUGAGUGUGUAUACGGCAUCAACUCCCUUACCCCUUUGGAUUUAACCCCUUUACCAAGUGAUCUUGUGAUAACCUUAUAUGUAAGCAAAUGGACCGAGGCCAUGAAGAAGCUACAUGACAAGGUAAGGUUGCGGUUGGAGAAGAAAAACCAAGAAGUUGCAAGGCGAACCAACAAAGGAAGAAGAAAGCUCAUUCUUGAACCGGGAGAUUGGGUGUGGGUGCACCUAAGGAAGGAUAGAUUCCCAUCUAAAAGGAAUGCUAAGUUGAUGUCGCGGGGUGAUGGCCCAUUCCAAGUAUUAGAAAGGAUCAACGACAACGCCUACAAGAUUGAUCUACCCCCGGAAUAUCAAAUGCACAACACUUUCAAAGUGUGUGACCUCUCUCGGGUGGAAACAGUGGAGGAUGGCAAUGAUCCAAAUUUGACGACAAAUUCCCUUCAAGAUGGAAAGGAUGAUACGAGAAUUCCUAGCUCGAGACCUUUCACAUGAAGACAAGUGCGUGAGUUGCAACGACUCCAAGCCUUGUUCACAUCCUUGGCCUUAUGUGAGGCCCUUGUAAGCCCAUCCAAGGUCCUAUACUUAUAAAAAUAUGAAGAGGCGCAACAAAACAAACCAAACCCACCCACUUAAUGCCAAGGGUAUUUUGGUUUUUUGUCCCUCCUUUGUAAUUGACUAUACAAGUCAUUUGUUAGGGCUAGUCUUGUGGUAGUUCAUCCAUGAUAUUUUGAGAACACAAGACUUGUAAUAUUUUGAACUUUUCUCUUCCAUUGGAGAAGCUCAAACCAAAAUUCCCAAUUGGAGUGACACUUGGGUUGAAUCUUGGCUAGAAACUAGGAUCUUGAGGUCAUUGAGUUCCUCUUGGUCUAAGUAAGAGCUUGGUGAUAAUAUUCUUUAAUCUUAGGGUCCUUUCAUGUUGUUAGGGUUCUUAUAUUCUUGACUAUUAUAUGUCAAGUUACUAUCUUUAAUUUUGUAAUCUUGUUGUUUGUGUGGUAACAUAGUGAAGCCGUGUGGGGCUAUUUUCGAUUCACUAUAGUUGAUGCCACUUUGUUACUCUUGUUGUUGUCAUUGUAAUCUAUAUCAUCUUGUCAUUUUUGUAAAUCUUGAAGUCUAGUGAAGCCGUGUGUGGCCUAUUUUGAUUCACUGGCAUUGUUGUUGUUUAUCUUGUUAUUCUUGUGUUAGCUUGACUCUCUUGAUACACACUCACUUUUGUAUCAAAACUAGACGUAUCUCUCACUUUCAAAAAUUACACAAAUAUCAAACGCGAUACAAAGGGUUUACACCAAGAAGAAAGGAAAAGAAAACUAUAGAAGGAUACUGCAGAAGUUAUAUAUGGUCUGGAGUAAAUUCAAUCACAAAGAGGUCACUAGUUGCAUAGGACAAACUGUGUACACCUAGAUCUUGUGGUGGACUUAAUCUCACUAAUCUAAAACUCUGGAACAGAUCUGUCAUAUCUAAGAGUGGUUGGGAUUUGGCUCAUAAGGAAGAUAAGAUAUGGAUACGAUGGAUUCACUCCUACUACAUUAAGGGCCAAAACUUUCUCACAAUGCCAAUUCCAAAGCAGACGAGCUGGCUGGUGAAGAAAGUAAUUGAAGUCAGAAGGAGUUGGAGCUAUAUACCAUUCACUACCGAACAAACGCAGCUCAGCUUUAUUAGAAAGGUUUACUUAUAGUUGUUUUGUAACCUACCUCGAUUCCCUUGGAAAAGCUUGAUGUUUCAAAAUGCUGCUAGGCCAAAAGCUUUAUUUACAAUGUGGUUGUACCUACAAGGCAAGUUGUUGACUGUGAAUAGACUUAUAAAAUGGAAGAUUGAAGCAGAUCCUAUGUGCUCUUAAUUCAAAGAUGCCAUGGAGAAUCGAAAUCACAUCCUAGUAAACUGUGUUGUUAUAAAAGAAGUAUGGGGUAAAAUAUUAAAGUAGAUGGGCAAAUAAACUGUGAUAUCAUCAGAUUGGGAUCAACAUAUGCAGUGGAUACUGCGACAUGGAAAAGGUAGAACUAUUGUUGCCCAGGUAUUUCGAAUGAUUUUUGCAGAAACUUGUCAUGCUAUAUAGAGUGAGAGAAACAACAAGCUGCAUGAUAAUAGAAGAAGGACUACAGAAACCAUUGCAAGAGAGAUAGCAUAUGUCUACACUGUAAGAGCUCCACUUAAAACUCAGUUGUUAAUUAAUUCAUGGAGAAUGUAAGUACGGAUGAAAAUAUUUUAGCAAAAUUAUGGUAACUGAGGUGAGCAAAAAGGGUGCUACUAUAGGCCUCUAUCUAACUUCUUAUGAUAUACUGGAUAGAUUUUUCUUUUUUUGAACUUAGCAUUUUGUGUAUAGUAUGAAUAUAGAUUUGUAAUGCUCAAUGGUGAUUAAUAAAAAAAUUGUUAGUUUCUUCUCUCUCAAUAUCAACCUCCAUGAACACCACCUCACUUUACUCUUAAAUUCCACAACACCAAAAAACCAAAUAGCUCCCUCCAUUACUCAAUUUUUCAAUUUCUCUAUUUUAAUUACACCCAGCAAACAACAUAAUUCAAUACGUGCCAUUAACUCUGCCCGGUGAAAAAUAUCAAUUAAACUCAUUUUUUGUCCCUUUCAGAGAAUUGACGCACAUCCACAACAACGAUCUUCCUCCACUAACCUUUUCAAAACCCCAUCGAAAUACCUCCAUUAAUAAUAAUAUACUCCUCCAUUCUCACUCACUAAUUUGACAAAAACAACCUCACUGAAAUAAUCAUCGAAAUUCCCACAAUUUCAUCACCACAAUUGUCUAACACCAACCCAAAUCUCUAAAAGAUUUCCUUUACAUACUCAACACCAUUAACGACCAAACAUCUGUAAGGUACAAGAUGAAAUGGGAGAUAUGUGUGUGAGAGUAAUAAUUUGACUAAGAAUGUAAAGUAACUUUCUUUUUAAUUCAAUUGAGCCACAUUUGGUAAUGUAACAUGGAGUGAAUUAUAUUCUGUAAUGUAACAUUAGUAGUUGCAUUUAUUUUGUAGUUUUUCCUACUUAAAAAUUGAAAUCUCAUAUUGUUAUAUUCAGUGUUUACUAUCGGUCAAUAUUUAGUAUUUGUGCUAGGGUACUAAUAUCUACAAAUUACAUAUAUACACAAGGUAACUUUACCUUAUUACAUAAAAUCUCAUAUUGAAAAAGAAAUUACAAAAAUCCCAAAGUAAUUACUUAAAUCCCUUAAAUUCACUCUUUCUCUCUCAUCCCCCUCAUACAUAUCAAAAUACCAUAUUUUGCUCCUAUUUUAGUGCACUGAUUUUUGCUCCAUAUAUGUGCUCCUUUAUUUACGUCUACAAUCAAGCUAAUGUAAUAUUAAUACUCUCUCAUCCCCCUUCUAUUUGCGUCACUUUUAUAAUUGGAAUUGAAGAUGUACACUUUCAAUUCACGUAAUAAAGAAAAUUGAAUCAUUCUUUUUCCUUAUUAUCAUCUAGCCAAUGUAAUGUUAUAAUAACACUAAUUUUUUCUUAAAAUUAUUAUAAUCUUGUAGAUAAUUAAUGUAUAAGGUGAAUAUUUUAUAUGUAUAGUGUGAUAUUAUAUAUUUUGAAAGAUUAUAUUUUAAUGUAUAAAUUAUAAUAUAUCAGACAUUAUACAUUAUUUAUUUUUGGAAGACUAAUGUAUAAUAUAAUUCUUCUACUAUACAUUUCAUUAUGUUAUACAUUAAAAAGUUCUUAUUACAUUUAAGAGGCAUUUUAUGUAUUAUUUGAUAUUAUACAAUUAGAAAGUAUUAAUAUUGUAUAAAGUUACAUUAUACCUUCUGAUAAGGAUAUAGAAGUAUACAUGCUUAAUGUUAAUACUUAAAUGUAUAGUAUGACAUUAUACAUUACAGCAAAUUAUUUUUUAAAUGUAUAAUGUGCCCACAUGUAUGUGCAACUAUUGUAUAAUGUUAUCUUUUAAAUUUCAGCUUAUCUGUUAUUUGCAUUGAUUCAGUAAAUACAUCACAUAUUGAAUAAUAAAAUUGAAUAUAUCAACUGUAUUUGGAUAUAUAUUAUUCUCAUUUAACUAUUUUGUUAACUAAUAUUUAUUUUUUUUCAUGGAUUUUAAAUUAUUUAUAAUAAAUUUAUAUGAUUCUGUGAAUGAAAGAUAAUUUCUUUCGUCAAAACAUACUUUGAAAAUCAAUUUUAUAGGAGUUUAAUGGAUUAUAUCAGUGUGAACACAAAUAAUCCAUAGGUAUUAAUAUUACUCCUACUAAAGUAAAGGAAAGAGAAUGAAAAAUAAAUACUCCCACUAGAUUUUAUAUUAUUUUAUGUUGUUGUUACAUAAUUUUUAAAAAGGUUUUAAUUAAAAUUAUAUUUUAUCAUUAUUUAUGUAAUUUAUUACUACUAAAAAUAAUAUAAGAAUGAAAUAAUAAGACUUUUUUAUCUGUUAAAAAGAAUAAACAACAUAAAAUAUUAUAAAUGAGAACAAUUAAUAGUGCUGAUUAAGAAUUUUUUUGAAUUGAAAUCUCAGUUACUAUAUUUAAUCAUACACCACACAAUGAUAGAUAAUUAAUUGCGUUAAUUAAGGUAGAGAAAGAUAAUAUCUGAUUUCUCUUUCCAUAAAAAUAGGCAAAUUUGUUUUAUCAUACAUUGCAGCAAUGUAUAAGACGCUACCUAAUGUAUAAGUAUAUUUUACAAAUUAGGCAGAGAGAAAGCCUAACGAAAUUAUAUAUAAAUACUUUCACUAUAGAAGGGAUUUAUGUGGUUUAUACUACUAAUAUUUCUCUUUUUAGAUUUGGUUAUUAUUUUUUGUUGAUUAUAAGUUGAUUUCUUUGGACCAAGAUUAUAAGUUGAUUUCUUUGGACCAAACUAUCAUUUGAAAUCCAUUUCAUUUGAAAAAAAUAAAUAAUAAUAAGACAAUAGUAGAUUGCACAAAAUUAUUUAAUUGAUUAUUUGUGUUCUCAUUUAAUAAAUAUUUAAUUGAUUAUUUGUGUUCUCAUUUAAUAAAUAAUGUAUAAUAUAAUUGUAUUAAGAUCGCAAUGGAUUACAUAAAAUCAGAAAAUUAAUUUCAAUUAAAUAGAAUCAAUUUUGUGAUCAUAAUAUAAACUCAAGUGGCUUAAAUUUAAUAUCGUAAAUUUCAAAUAAAUUUACGACUAAAAUAGUAGUCAAUAUUAAGUGUUCUUUACCACAAUAUGUAUAUCAGUUAUGAAAUUCUACAUAUACUUACUAUUAAAAUAGUUGUCAAUAUUAACUAAUUUUCACCUUGAUUUAAUCUGAUUAAUUUGAUUAUAGUAAAAUUAAUAUUACAUUACAUAUUUACUUCCUAUAAAUCUAUCCUAAUUUUAUAAUUACGGAAGCAAUUAUUUUUUCCGUUGUUACAUAUGUACUUCCCAAAAAUUUCUCCUAUUUUUAAAAUUUGAUUAUAUUUAUUACCUCUAUAAUUACGGAAAGGACUCGACAAAAAAAAAAUUAAAUUUUCCUAAUUACAUAUUUACUUCCCAUGAAUAUCUCAUAUUUUUAUAGUUUGAUUAUAAUUAAUUGAUUAUUAAUUAUCUUUAUGAUUUUGGAAAAGACUCAAAUAAGGUAGCAACUGUUUUUUUCCUAAUUACUGAUAUACUUCUCAAAAAUCUCUCCUAACUUUAUAAAUUGGUUAUAGUUAAUUAAUUAUUUAAUUGUCUCUAUAAUUUUGGUAAGAACUCAAAUAAGAUUAUAACUAUUUUCCCCUAAUUACGGAUCUUCUUAUAUUUAUUCAUUUAUUAUUUCUUUAUAAAAAUAGGUCAAUCUUAAUUGCAAUUAAAGUUGAAAUAUUAUUUGUUUUUAAAAUGUGAAGUGGCUAGUUCUCAUGAUAUUACUUGGUUUAACCUCAGCUAGAUUGUCAACAACAACAACAAAAAAACUCAUCUAGGUACUCUCCUCUUUUAUUAGGUAUAUAAAAAAUUAUUUUUUCCAUUAAUAAAACUAUGAUAAUGUAGCUUUGUGGAGUGCGAGGAUUGCUUAGUUGAUGGUUGAGCACCAAUCAAAUCCCUUGAUUUCUGUCUAAGGGGUUCAAAUUUUGAAGAAAAGCUAGCAAAAAGAGGUGCACAUCUAUAAUAUAUAGAUAAAGAAUUAUUUUAAUCAUUUAUUAAUAGUAUAAUUUUUUGUCUUAAAGGGUUAGGGGUUCGGAUGAACCCAUAGUGAAAAGCUGGCUCCGCUUCUGCAUAUCCCCUCCAAAAAAAAAAAAAGAAAAAAACAAAGGACAACAUAACUAAACGUCUAAACCAUAUAACUACUUCUCCUUAAAUAAUGUAAACAUGGUCUCAUCAAAAGUACUAAAUUUUGGUAAACAUACUAAGUGACUUUGAUAUAGUGUAUAGAAAAUCAUCUCUUCUUAGUCUUGUAAACAAAAUGAGUAGUUCAGGCUUUAUCAUAAUAAUUUUGCAUACAUGAGGUACACAACCUAAGAGACAAUAAAGCAAAUGGUUGUCCCCCCCUCUCCUAACGUUUUCAAAUAAAUCAAGAUCAAACAUUAUCAACACCAAUUGCCUACUUUCUUAGAGUGCUAACGAUAAAAUCAUCUUUUUGUUUGCUUUUGUUACAAAAAUACUUACAACAAAGAGUACUACGGACCCCUCAUGGACUCAAAAGAUUUGGUUCCACAUACUCCCACUUUUUUGGUCCCUUUAAAAUUUUGUUCUUAUAAUUUCUAUAGAAAAAUAACGUAGGUGGUUAGCUUGAAGAAUAAGUAAAUAAGCAAAAGGCUAGCUACAUAUAGAUAGUUCACUUGCUAACUUGGGUUAGGCCAAGAGAAUUAUUGUUUGCUUGCAACUAUCAUGAAUAUUAAGUUUGUAAAGCUCAAAUAGCAUAUUGAUAAAUAAGAAAAUCAAAUAUUGAUCUAACUCGACCCCAAAAGUUAGUUCAUGAAAUAAAAAAAUUUUAUUUGUUCAUCCCAAGUGAUUUUACUAUAUGCAGUGGCGGAUGUACAUGUAUUCCAGGGGGUUCAUUCGAACCCCCUUCGUCGGAAAAUUAUAUUAUUUUUAUAUGGUAAAAAAAAAUAUUAUGUAUAAAUAAUAGAGGCUGAACCCCUUCGACUAGUCCAUAUAUGUACUACUGAACUCCCUCACUAAAAAUCCCGGAUCCGCCCCUGACUAUAUGAAUGCUCAAAAUCUAGCUCAUGAGAUGCGAUUAUCAAUAAUGUAACAUUGCUAUAGAGGGCGUACUUUUAUUUAUUUAGUAAUAUCUUUUAACAUGCCUCUCACAUUCGGCUUGCUUCUUUUUAGUGGAUGAUAGUGAGACUCGCAUUCAGAAUCUCUGUAUGAUAUGUGAAUAUAUAAUCAACUCAUCUAAGAGUUUAAACUAUUCGAGUUGACCAUACUCUUAUUUCCUUAAUUAUUACUCUUCACUGUGUAUAUUAAAUAGCUUACCUUCCGUUAGUUAAGUUAGUCAUGCUAAACAUUAUAAUGAUACCAUUUGAUUAAGAAACGGAAAAAACUGUACUAUGUAUAAAUUGUAAAUUUGAAGAUUUGGUAUCGUAAAAAGUAAAUUUUAUUGGAUGCGAAGUGGUGAGGUGCAUUCUUAAAGUGGGCAUUUUGCACCAUCAUUAGUUAUUUUAUAACACCAAAACUUUCUCCAAAUUUGUUCUUAGAAAAUGACUUGAGCAUAAAUAUUCUCAUUUUCAAUUGUAUCUGGAAUAAUUAAUAGGCAAUAAGUUAAAAUAUUUUUAAAAUAAUUAAAUUAAUGAGCUUUUUCCAAAAGCAAAUGUGUUUCUCACAUUAUUAUUCUUUGCUUAAGGACAAAUCAACACGAGAAAAAAGAUAGGGGGAAGAGUGGAAACCCUUUUUCUAGAGAAAAUGAGGAGAGCACUAACUAAAGAAUUUUUUUUCCAAAAAGUCAAAGUCAUUAUGCCAUUGUCAAAGAUAAUUCUUCAAUCUUUUUGACUUCCAAAUUUGGAGAACAAAUAAAAAUUUGGAGUUCACAAGGUGUUACAAAGACUAAAGAAAUGAUUGAAAGAUUAUAAUUUUUGGUCCCCAUUAAAACUUAAAAAUAAUAAUUUAAUUAAAUAUAUACGAAGUACAUAUAUAAUGUUACAUCUCCUUUUCUUCAACCAUUAGUUAGGAAAGGGGAAAUCAAAUAAAGUAACGAUACAAAUAAAAAGAGGGAAUUAAUUAACAAGUGGAAGAAAGUUUCAAGAGUCCUAAUGGUGCAAAUGCUAUCAAUUUUACCUUGGAUAUACAACAAAAAUAAUUAGAUAUGAUAUGUAAUUACUCCUUCUCUUCCUUUUACUUGCCUUCUAAUUUCCAAACAAAAUGAGAAGAGAAAAGUUAUCGUGGGAAAAAUUAUCCUUCCACCAUUAUGGUCUAAACAAGAUGCAAAGAGAAGAUUGGUGGGGGUGGGUCGUGGGGGGGCUGGUUUAACAAUGUCCAAUUGUUUAAAUGAUUUUAAUUAUAUGCAUUGAUAGUAAAUGUCGUUUUACACAAUUAAUGUAAUACUUAUAACAUGUUUAUCGAGUAUAAUUUUUAUCAGGUUAUUAAUUAAUAUUUAAAUAUGAAUAUUUAUAUGAAAUUACCAUAUAAAAAUAACUUGAUUGAACAAUUUUUAUUUACAGUACUGUCAAAUCUUAAAAUUUAAACUCAAGAAUUUAUCUUAGCACAUAAUAGUAAAUCCAUGAUCACUCUCCCAAUAUUUAGACAACUUAGUAAUUAUAGAUUUCCGAACAAGGUUGCUAGUGUAUCAUAAAUCAUACUCACAAUUCAAGCAGGAGCAGUAUAUUAAACUCAGUCUAUCUCAUAUUAAUUGUCCAUAUUAUUAAAAAUAUGUUUCAAAUUACUUGAUAAUUUAUAGAAUCAAGAUAGAAUUAAUUUAAUUUUUCUCAUUCUUCCCUAAAUUAACCGUUGUAUAAAUAUUAUGAAGUUUUUAAAAAGUUUUUUCCAUCAUUACUUUUGGCAUUGAUUGAUAAGACACACAAAUAUAAAGUAUAAUAAAAAGAUAUAAAAGAAAAAUUACUAAACGUAUUCUUAUUGUUUAUAAUUUUUAAAGAAUUUAUAAAAAAUUAGGAAAUAGCAACUAAUAUAUAACGGAGGGAGUAGUAACAACAACUCGAUGUUAGGUAGCUGCGGACAGAUAAAUAUCAUAGAAGACUUGGAAUACUAAAAUAUAUAUGCCAUCAUGAAAAUGUGCAUAGGAUACUAAAAACAAAAUUAACUUCUUUCUGCUUUGAAUUUUUUUACAAAUUUUGCUGUUGCAAUUUGAAAAUGUUACACUUCUCGAUUUGUUCCCUAUUUGCUGAUCGAAUUGAUGCUUCUUAUCUUUUGUUCAGUGGUCAAUAAAUUGUACUAUCCAAUGGAUAUUCUUGCACAACAGAUUUUUAUUUUUAUUUUAUUUUAUUGGCUCAAAUUUUUUCUAAUGCCUUUCUGCAAACUUCAUCUACUCUUGUUCAUUCUGUGAAUCUUGGUUCUUCAAAACAAAAACAAAAAAGGAAAGAUAGCUUGAGGUGCUUCUUUUCCCGUCAUUUAUAACCUGAUAAUAAAGAAAUAUAUUUUAAAUUAUAAUAAUUCAAUUUGUAAUUUUGAUCAACAUAAUAAUGAAAGAAAAAAAUCAAAAGAAUUAGAUUUUCCUAAUAUUAUUCAAAAUUGUUGAAUUUUUCCUCUUAUAGUCUUUCGAUUUAUUCAUUCUUAAUUACGCAUGAACACAUACGUGCACCGCCUCUUUUAUUGUUUUAGUUUUUGUUUGGGAGGAGGGUGAAAUAAUACUCUUCUGUCAAUGAUUACUUAUUCUUAUUUGACUACAUUUUAAUUUUUAAUAUAAUGAAUAAAUAAAGGUGGACGGAGGAAUAACCUACUCAAAAGCGUGAAACAUAAAUUAAAGGAGCAUGACAUGUUUCGAUACUUAAAGGAGUAAUUAGACAUUUGCAUUGGAUCUAUAACCAAAGACUCCAAAUAAUUGUCAAAAGUCGUCCAUUUACGUUCAGAAAGACAAAGAAGAUGCCAUUACUGUUUCCCAAAAUUCAAAUGGAGGACACAUGUCAACUAUUGUAAUAGCAAGAAGCAUGCAAAAGAGGAUCAGUCAACUAAAUUAUACUAUAUAGUACGUCUCGACAUUAUUCUAAUCUUUGGCAGUAUUAAUCGGACUUUAAUUUGUAAGCCUCUUCUAAAAUAUGCAUGAUACUUAGAGUUAUUUUUCUUCCUAGGAAGCAUCAUUUUCAUGUUUUAACUCACACCUUGUCGGACAAGAAAGGAAAGUAAAUUAGCCAAAGGAAAUAGGAUGGGAAAACAAAAUUUGGUGAUGAAGAUAAUUUUUCAUCAAAAAAGUUUAUAUACUCCAUAAAAUAUAAGAGUUAAUCCUAAAUGUGAUUCUUUUUUUUUUUCCUUUUCAUAAAGGAGUUAACUAAAAUCCUGAUUAGAGGCAUGGUGGGAGCCAGGGGUAGAUCCAUGUGUAAUUUUGGGGUGCUUCGAUACCCAUAAAACUCGACGUAGAUUAGAUAUAAUUAUACAAAAAAACACAGAAUAAAUGGUAUAAUUUAUUAAAAAUCACCUAGAGAACAAAUAUAUGGUUGGGUGCAGUGGCUUGAGGAUGUGACUCAUAUGUCCAGUUUUCUAGGUUCGAAUCGCUACAGCUACAUACUAUUUUUUAUAAAUUUUUUUAAGCACCCACAACCUUAAAUUCCUGGGUUCGCCACUGGUGGGAGCUGGGUAAUAUUCUUGUACCUUUAAUAAGGGCUUUCAAGUUCAAGAUCCGUGGAUAAAGAAAAAAAAAUAAUAGAUAAUGUUUCUUUCUAAAUCUUAAGCGCGUGAAUUUGAAUUAGAUAGAGUUAAUGAAUAUAUAUUAUUAUUAUUACUAGUUCAGCCGUACGUAUCUCGCACGUAUAACUUUUGAUUAUUUAAAAUUAGACGAUUUUAUCUAUUACAAAGGUUUUUAAUAACGUACAAAAAGUUCCAAACAUAUAUUUUACUAUAAGCACAUAUAUAUUUUACUACCGGAAGUUUCAAGUGCUUAAUGGAUACUUUUGCGUUUGUUAUGCAAUACCUCUUUUCAUUGCUGGUAGAGGCUAAGAGAAACGCAUCAGUUCGAAUCAUAUUUGUAGUACAAUUGUUUUUCCUCUACUUAAAAUCUUUACUUAUUUUUUAAGUUAAAUCAUUAGAAAAUUUUUUAUUACUUAAAACUUUUAUAAAUUUAAUAUUUCUUAUAUUUUUUUUAUUCUCACUAGUGCUUUCAUAUUUGUUUCUAGAUUUUUUAAAUCUCUUUAAAAUUAACUUUAGUUGAUUUAGAAUUCUUAAACUAAUGAAAAAGAUAUUAGUUGUCACUAAUUCUGACGACUUCUAAUAACGAAAAGUUAAAUAAUAUUUCUACGAUCCUUCACACUUUUAAUAUAUUUUAGAUUAUAAAUUAUAGAUUAAAUAUAAACAUAAAUAUAAAUAUAAAUAUAAAUAUAAAUAUAAAUCAAACAACCAUGGUGGGUUGAUGGCAACUUAUAUGCUACUGUCAUUCUCUUAUAAUAAAAGUUAAUUACCAAAAAGAAAAAUAUAUGCUAGUGUCAUUUCAUUAUGUAAUUUUCAAGUAAAUUUGAUAAAACAAUUAAACUGAAGUAUAAAACAUUACAAAAAAAAAUGCACACAUAUGUAACGUACACAUAGAGUCCGUUAAACAAUAAAAUUAGGAGUUAUUUUUUCACGUAAAAUCUACCUACACUAUUGAUAGUAUUUUCUUCUUAUUAUAUAUUUUAGGACUUUAAAAUUGUAAAUAGUUAAAUAAGAAGAAAACUAAAAAUAGAAUAAGCCAAUAUUUAUAUUUCUUGUAAAAUUUGAUUGAAACUAUUACUUAAAUAGAACUGUAAAAGUUCUUUUUAUAUAAGGGAAAAUUUUAAUUUAUUUAGAAGUAUUAAAUAUUAUAAUUUCUUGUCUAGAUGAAAUAAGGACUUUAAUUAAUUUUAAAAAUCUAAAUAAUGUAUAAUUAGUUUAUUUUUAUUUUUUUAGAAAAAAUCUCAACCUAAAUAAUGUAUAAUAUUGACUUAUUUAAAAACAAAAAUCCCAAACCAACUUUGGUUUUUAAAAAAAAGGACAUAAAAAACCAUUUUGUAAAAUAAAUAAAUCAAGUUAUAAUUCUAUAUAAAGCAAAAAUAAUAUACAUUAAGAAUAGUAAUAACAUGUUCUAUACUAACAUUUGGGCAAGUUUGCAAAAAUUCAAAUUUUAGCUGAUUUUAAACUAUUACGUUUUUAAGGGUGUUCACACUUUUAAUAUAUUGUAGAUUAUAGAUGUAGAUAUAGAUGUAGAUGUAGAAGUAGAUGUAUAUAAGAUGUAGAUUUAUAGAUUUUUAAUAUCUUCUUAAAAUCAAAUUUAGUUGAUUUAGAAUUCUUAAACUAAUAGAAAAAGUAUUAGUUGUCAUUAAUUAUGAUGACUUCUAAUAAGGAAAAAGUUUUAUUAUAAAUAUAUUUAAUUAAUUUUGAACUCUUAAAUAUUAGAAAAACAAAUAGUGAAAAGAUAAUUUUGCCUAAAGCAAAGACUUUUAAUGAAAGACAAAAAGUUAAACGAUAUUUCUAAAGUCCUUUACACUUUUAGUGUAUUAUAAAUUAUAGAUAUAGAUAUAAUUAUAGAUUAUUAUUGUGAUAAAAGUAAUAAUUUUUUUUUAAAAAUGAAGUGAGGCGCUAAAGGAAGUUAUUUUUCUUUUCAUUAAACUAAAGUAUAUAGUAGACCUAUUUACUUUCUUCUAUAUUAGUUACUUUACUUAUUCUCUUUGCAAACCAAAUAAGAAAAGGAAUCCCUUUUUCUUUCCUUUAUGUCUAGUUCUCAAACAAAGGACAAGCCCCUCCUCUCUCUCUCACUUUUUUUUUUUUUUUUUUUCUUUUUAAAAUAGUAGAAAGGAGGGGCUGAUGUCGAAGUUUAUAAUUGGGAGGAGAAAAUGUGAAAAAAGAUAAAAAGAAAGAUGGCGCCAAAAGAAGUCUUAUGAGGAGAAAUUGCUUUUAAAUUGUUAGACCAAUAUACCUGCAGACUUCCAACUUUGGGACCCUCUUGCCCACUUCAAAAAUUAUGCUUAUUGUAAAAUAACUUAAAUAUAUACCGACAGCAUAAAUAAUAGUAGUAUUUCAUACCAAUAUAGAUCACAACAAAAUUAAUUAAUAAGUUGAUCUUAAUGAGGGAAACACUAAACAUAAAUUAAAUGAAAUGGUUUUAUCUUUAGUGAACAACACCAGAAUUUUCAACAAGGAGUCAAAAUAUUAAAAAAGUAAGUACUCAAAUAAGUUAAGAAAAUUUUACAUAUAAUAUAUGUACAUUAUUUGUUUUACUUAAUUUACACUAUAUAAUUAUUUAGUAAAGGAGUGCAUUGACACUUUUCAACAAGGACUAUCAGUAUGUGUAAGUUAAUUAGAAGGUACUCCCUCUAUCACAGUUUUAAGUGUCUUAGUUUGAUAGAACAUAGAGAUUAAAAAAUAAAAGUGAGAUUUUUUAAUUUUAUGACGUUAAAUUAAAGAAGUGUAUAGUGUUUUUUAUAAUCUUACACUUAUCAUGAAGGAGGUUAUUGGAAUUGUAAAAAUUACUGAAUAUAGAAAGAGAUAUUUUUUUAGAAAUAAACGAAAAAGAAAGUAAGACACUUAAAUUAAGACGGAGGAAAUUCUAUGAUAUAAUAAAAUAAACUCCAAACCCUUGCAUUAGCAUAGUUCUCUUAACAUGUAUGUAUUGGCUUGGUCUAUAUACCGGGUGCGUGUAAGUGUUUUCCCACCUUGUACUAUCCUCAAACCUGCCUCCCCUUUUCCAUUCCUAUACUCUUUUUUCUCUCUUGUUAAAUACUCUUUUAUUCUUUCUCUACUAUAUAUACAUACCAACACUUGACUUUAAUCUUUAAUUUACCUUUGUGCAUACCUCUCUCCUCCAACAAGCUAAGUGUUCAAGUGUAAUAUACCACAAUUAGGAGUCCAAGAUCAUAAUAAUGAAGGAGUGUGGGAAGAAUAGCAGCUCACCAUGUGCAGCUUGCAAGUUAUUGAGAAGAAGAUGUGGUCAUGACUGUGUCUUUGCACCUUAUUUCCCUGCUGAUGAACCCCACAAGUUUGCCAAUGUUCAUAAGGUCUUUGGUGCUAGUAAUGUCAGCAAGAUGUUACAGGUUCCACUUUCUAUAUAUCUCUUUCAAUUAUUUUCCAACUUAACUUUCUUUAAUAUAUAUGCAACUUUUUUCAAAAAAAAAAAAGGGCAAAUCUUCAUCUCUACUUCUAAUUGGGUAUCAACACCUUAGUUUUUGUUUAUGGGGUUUUCUCUAUGUGAAUUAUAGUUAGAGUCGUGGAAUCAGUCACUAAUACUUGCAUCAGGACUCGGGAUAGACCGAUUACAUCACAUCCCUCCUCUCUUGAAUGUUUCCCUUUUUUGGACCCUACAUGAGAGUAUACCAUACUUUUUUUCUGAUGUGGGUGGGUGAGGUGGGAUAGGAGGGGGGUUGUCAAUUAAGGGUAUAGAGUGUGAACACGAUUUAGCAUAUAAUAUAAUGACUUAAGAUAGAUCUAAAGAUAAGGUUGUUUAGCAAAAAUAUUGGACACAGAAGUUACACAUGCACUUGGUCUAUGAACAUGCUAUAAUAGAGAAGAGAUAAUGUAUUUAACAGGUCACAUGCAAUAAAAUCCAAAAGGUAAGCAUAACAGACAAGUAUAGAUGAUAAAUAAUGUAUCAAACUUCUUUCCUAUUCUCAAUACUGCUACUUCAUUUUCUCCAAGUAUAUAAAUAUAGUCCAUGUUUGUCUACCCUAAUUAGCUAAAUUAAGUCCUCUAAUUCAAAUUAUAUAUUUUGGAGUUUUUUUUUUGUUUUUUAAAAGGCACUAAAUAAUGUUCAUGAUUGAGCCUACAGUAUAAAAAGUUGCCGUUUUAACCCUAUUUAAUUUAAUGUGUCCCUCUUGCUACUGGUCAAAUGUGCCAAACACUCGCAUAAGAAAACCAAUGUACAACGUACUAAUUGUUUCUUGCUUUUCAAGUUAAAAUUAGCCCCUUAUAAGGUAAUUAGGUCAUAUUUUCUUUGAUUAUAGUUUCUUUUUUCCUUAUUAAAGUUUAAAUUAUGAUCUUUUGUUACUCAAGCUUCUGCUUUUCUAAGCUCUAUUUUGGCGGUAAAAAGAUAACAAGCAAGUAAUUAUACUUUAUAUAAAGAAUAAAUGUUUGCUGAACACCUUUUUCAGGCUCCUGUGGUCAUAUUUUCAGGUUCUUUUACAACUAGAAAAAAAAACAUUGCAUUAAGUGAUUAAAGUUUCACACUGAUCUUAGAUUCAGUAGUGAAGCCACAGUACUAACUGCGGGUUCAACAUAAAUCAGUAAUUUUGACUCAAAGUUUUAUAUUUUUAUUAAAUUUUUUCAAUAUGUACGUACAAAUAAUUUAAUUUAUUCAGAAUCUAGGUAAAAAGAGUUAUGAUUAAUUUAGCAAUUUGUGGGGUCGUUAGAGGGGAACAAAGAGAUGUUUGUUAGUUGUUGAAAAACCGUUUCACUAGUCAAAUGUGGAAAAAGAUUGAACUAGUCUAUGUUUAUGGUCCCACAAACAAUCAUGCUCCUCCGCUUCAUUUUAAUUGAUCUCUUAUUAAAAACAUUUAAUUAUUCUAUUUAUGAAAUAAAAAAGAUUUUAUUAUAUUCUUUCAAUACUAUUUGUGUUAUUAAAUAACUAUACAAAGUGUAUAUAUUUAAAUUAAAAUUUUAAAAAUAUAAUUAAUAAGACUAAUUUGAUAAAAUGCACUCUUAAUAAACAUAGGAUCAAGACAGGAAUUAGUAGAAAAUUUUUGACUAUUGAAUAUGAUGAAUGAGGUUCAAUGUAGAACUAAUUUGGAGCCAUAAACUCCAUAUCCAACUGUUUUUCUUUCUUUGUAAAUUAUUUAUUUACUUAAUAUUUGAAAGUCAACUAAUUUAUUCAAUAUGAAUUUGGUCACUAUCACAAUAUAUAGUAGUACUUUUUACAACUGAAUUUUCAAGUGGACACGUGAUAUUUUUCCAAUCGUCAUUUCUCAUAAAAUUUCGGGGGUGGUUAAAUGGUCUCCUAUUUUAACAAUUAAAGGCCAAAAGAAUCAACUUACUCCAAGAAAACAAACACACACAUUUGUUCUUUUGACCACAAAUAUAGUGUUGUUGAUAGGUACAUAUCACCUCUUAGCCAUAAUUAAAGACUUCUCUGGUUUGACCUCAUUUUAAAAAGGUGAUUUCUCUUUCUCUUUUUCCUUUUUUUCCUUUCAUCUUUUUCAACACACACUCCAUUAGCUAUUUUCAGAAAAUUUUAUGACACAAAAAUGAUGUCAAUAUGACAUGCCUUUGGAACUCAAUACUCUCUUAGGUCCUCAAAGUACAACCCAAGCCCAUUAAUUAGCAUGCCAAUCAUAUUAGUAAGCCCAUAAGGAUUCUGUCACCAACUUACAACAAAGACUGUAUCACAAACUACACUACAUUCGUUUCAUUUGGUCUACAAUAAAAUACAUUAUACAGAAUUUUGCCCAUAGUGUAGUUAUUAUGAUCUGCAUUUGUAGCCAAAUUUUGGAGUGAGUUAAUUAAAGUUCAAAUCAAAUGGUGUAAAAUUGCAGGAAUUGCCGGAGCAUAAGAGAGGAGAUGCAGUGAGUAGCAUGGUGUAUGAAGCAAACGCUAGAGUUAGAGAUCCAGUGUAUGGAUGCGUAGGAGCCAUUUCAUCUCUCCAACAGCAAAUCGAUAUGCUCCGGACUCAACUGGCCAUGGCCCAAGCUGAAGUGGUCCAAUUGAGGCUAAGACAAUCCACAGGCAUUAUUAAUAAUAGCCCACCAAAUAAUGACUCUCCCAUUACGAGCUCCCAGCCCAAAGGAUAUUCCCAUUUCCAUAUGGAUUUAGAUGUAGACCAGUCCAACUGCUUCAAUGAGCCCAUGUGGCCAUAUUAGUAAAUGAGUUUCGUCUAUUUUAAGUUCAAAAAUUCCCAUGUGUCCUUUUGCCUCUAUAUCUUUUUCUUAUAAAGGGCAAAGGUGAUGAUUAGGUUGCUGUUUGUGAGUGUGUUAGAAUGAAAUCAAACCCUUUAUGGGGUGUAUUAGCAUGAGUUCAUACAAAACCCUUCAAGUGGUGUUGGCCUUUUGGCCAAAUUGAUUAUACUAUUAUCUUUGUUCUUGUGUAUAUAUGUAACUACUAUAGUAUGUGAUAGGACAAUUUUCAUAAGGGGACAGUGUGUUUAUUUUCCAAACUUGUUGGAAGAAAGUCCCUUUUUACAAUUGACGAAUCAUAAAACUCAAAACUCUUAUUUAACAAUUUGAUAUCUGAAUUUCAUUCGAGAGUCUAUUCGAAACAACCUCUCCACAUUUGAAGUAGGGUAAGGUUCAAGGAUCGAUUCAGGAUUUAAAGGUUGUGAGUGCUCACUUUCUUUAAGGAAAAAAAAAGUGUGUUGCUACCAGAAAUUAAACCCACGCCACUUCAGGCAUCAAGGUGCUUUAGUUUCACACCGAAGCCAAAGCACCCAACAACCACUUUUGUUUAUGAGUGCUUAACGUUACAUCAUAACCGAUUUUACUGUAUUUUCUAUACAAAUAACAAAAAAUUUACCAGAGUCAGUGGGUGCUCAAGCACCUGGAAAAGAUGCAUGCAUCCGCCCCUGGUAAGGUUUGCGUACACUCUGUUCUCCCGAGACUAUAAUCCAUUUUAAGGUGGGGAAGAACUCCCUUGCAAAAUUUCUUUUCUCUAGAGUUUGAAUCGAGGUCUCUACUUAGGAUAAAGUGAUCUUAUAUGUCCCUCCACAUCAGUUGGUGAUGAGACGACAAUAUGUAUUGAUACUUACAAGACAAAACAACUUUCCCAAUGAAUCACCAAAACGCUACAUAUAGAGCUAAUUAAUAAGAAUCCACCACAAGAUCUACACAUAGUAUUUAGGAAAUUCUCAUUGUUUCAUAAUAUAAACAAGUGAAAGAGCAAUUAGACAUUAGAGUCAAUGAGUUCUCCAUUCACUAACUCUCUGUAAGCAGCAACAGGCCAGAUGAAGCCUCUCCAGACAAGCCUGUUAGCCAAUGGAACAUCAAUGAUGAUCUCCUUCAUUGUUGGCUUCUUCUCAUCUCUUAUUGCAAUCAAGUAGCUCCUUCCUACCCACCCAAUCCAUCCAGCAAUGUACAAGAAGAGGAUCCCAGGAGUGAUGAACUCACCCCAAUGCCUCUGGUCUCCACUCACUAUCAGGUGUGGCAGUCCAUCCGAUCCACACAAUAGUCCCUGUUUCGCGUAGUUGUCAAAUCUGCAAUGACAAUAGUUGAGUGAAUUUGUGUAAGUGAAAUAAAACUAGUUAUGUGACUUCUCCGUUACAAAAUAAAGUUGAGUGACUUUAUCAAGAUAAUUUCCGUUAGUUGAGUAAUUUCAAAGGAGUUUUGUCCUUCACUGGUGAGGGACAGCGAGACAGUUGUGCUUAUAUACAGAAGCACUUCUUCUAGCUCUUAAAGAAUUGAGAAGAGAGUCUUCCCGGCGCCAUCGUUGUCCCUCAGCUGGCUUGGGCUUGAAUUUGAAUUUAUGAUGUGAUUGACUGAUAUAUUUUUGGAUCAAAUUUAUUUAGUUAAUAUUUAUAUUUCAGUAACAUUUUUGUAAUUAAUUCCCAUGUUAUUGUUUUGUCGUAGCCAUAUUUUUCGUAAACAACCAUUUUCGCAAAGAACCACCAGGAAGAGUUGCAUCUCUUCGUUUGAGACUAGACUUCUGCUUAUAUAUAUCUGUCCUUUAAUUCAGAUUUUUACUUACGAUUUUUUUUUUAAAUAUUUCUCGCAUAUUACUUUCUGCUCUGCGAAGUAAAUUUGAAGUGUGAUUCAACUGUUCUUAAUGUUCGUUGAACACCGGUGUUUGAAGUAUCUUUGCACAAGUGACAGUAAUCUGCCCUAUCUUGGGAGGAAAUAAUCUUAUACCUCAGGUAUUAGGAACACUAUGAAUUUCAGGAGGCUCGAAUUAGUUUCAGCUUUCAUCUCAUGUAUAUUUUGUCAAGUCUUAGUUUCCAGGAUUUAUUUGGUUACUAACAGUAUUUGUGUUACUAAACAAAAUUCGAAUGAUCAUAUGCGAAAUUAACUCUAUGAUAAGGAAUUACAUAGAUGGAUUAAAUAAAAAAUGAUUACUAGGGGAAAAUGGAAGGUGAGACAAACCUGCGCUUAGUUUUCUCAAUAGUAGCAUUAAUAGCAAGUGCAGGAGCACUAUCAGGUGCAUAUAGCUUCAAAGAAUUCUCAAGCUUCUUGAUCUGUUGCUUCUCCCUCUUAGCAAACUGCUUUGACUCCUUGCAAGGUGUGAGUCCAGAGAUGUCAGCAGAAGCUGGAAGCACUGGUGCUGACAACAGAAUUGAAGACAAAGCAAGUGCUGCUGAGAAUACCUUUAAUGAGGAAGAUGUUUCAUCUGUUUUAGUAGAAGCAGGAGUUUGGUUUGAAGAGCAGACUAUUGUUGAAGUUCUUGGUUUUGUGGUAAACUGAGAACUAAACUUAGAUGAUGUUGAAAUGGGUUUUGAAAGGUUUGCAGGAAUUGUGAGAGACAUGGUGUUUUCUCCUCUCUCUUUUUAUGGUAUUAUUUUCAAGAAAAAAAGAGAGGAAGGAGGAGUGGAUUGGAGUGUGGAGAGUGAAAGGAUGUUUUUUUAGGAUAUUUGGAAGAAAGGAUUGGUAUUGAAGAGAGAGGAUAAAGGAGUUGAAGGGGAGCUUAGGUGGAGGGAUUUGAUUGGCUAAUUGAGUUGGAUUUUGUGAGAUUGGUGGAUUUUGCUGAAACUUUAUCUAUCUGUGAAAGAGCAAGAACCAGGGAUGUAACAGAUACAGAUACGCCUCCUUCGGAGCCAUAUUAUCCCUUGGAAUAGCUAGUAAGUUGCUGCCCACGUAAUCAGGAGGUCAUAAGUUCAAGUUUUGAAAACAGUUUCUAAUAAAAAUACAAGGUACGACUGCAUACGAUACACCCUUGUGGUGGGGCCCUUCCCUGGAUACCGCGCAUAGUGGUAAUUUUAGUACACUGGACUGUCCUUUAUUGGCAAAAUGGCUAAAUGGAUCCUUGUACUAUGUUCGUUUUGUAAUGUGAACACUUCUACUUACAUGUUUGUCAUCUGAAUCGUUGAAUUAAUUAAAAAGUAAUAUUUUAAGCCCUUUAUCGGUCUACUCCUUUGAACGUGUUGCACAAUCACGAACAUGUCAUCAAAUAUUUGAAAAUAAUUUUCACAUAUGAAAUAACGUGUCCAAGGUAUAAAUAGAAAAGUAAGUCCGAAAAAUUAAGUCAUUUUAGACCCUUCUUCUUCGUCUCUUUCAUCCAAAGUUUAAAAUUUCCCCUAUUUUAACUUAAUUUAGGUAGAUUGUUGUUGGUGGUUGUUGCAAUCCGUGUAAGUAUUUAAUAUUUUGUGGUAACUGUAGUAUUUCGUAGUUUAUUUCAGGCUCUUUUGUCGAUGUAAUGAAGUCCGUUUUAGUAAUUUUAGGAUUUUCGCCAUUAUGAACUUUUUUUUCAAUUUUUUGGGUGGUUUUGCUCUAUUUUAUAUCUAGUGUUGUUGUAGGUAGUAUGUGUAGUGGUGAUAUGCCUUCAAUGACAUAUUUUGAAAUUUUGAUCAAAAUUUAGAGUUUUUUCGUAAAAUGGUAAUUGGGUUCGAAAAUUUUUGAGCUUUUAAUUUUUUUUUUGUUGUCUAAUGCUCCUAUUAUACCUAUAUAUUACAGUUUUGUGCCUUCAAUGGUGUAUUUUAUUAUUUCGAUUACAUUUUAAAUUUUUUUUGGUAAAUUUAAAAUUAGGUUCGAAAAUUUUGGGGCUUGUGAAUUUUUUGUUGUUUAAUGCUCCAAUUAGAUGUGUGUAUAACAGUUUUGUACCUUCAAUAGCAUGUUUUGUUAUUUCGAUUACAUUUUAAAGUUUUUUUUUUUUGAUAAAAUCAGAAUUGGGUUUCUUAUUCCUUUAUUUUUUCUUUAAAAAUUAGGUCUUUAUGGAUAAUUAACUAAUUAUAUAUAUUAUCUUGUCAUUGUACAGAUUUUCUAAGUAAAUGGACACAAUUGUAACAAUUCAAUUCACCUAUAGGGGGGUCUUUUUGUCAGACCCUGAUCUAAGGUAUGCAAAUGAAGUUUGUAUUCUUGAAAAAAUUAGAGUAGAUGUAGAUGAGCUUCAUAUUAUGUUAUUUCAUAACUUAGCAAUAGAUUUAGAUAUGGAAAAAAAUAAAACUUUUUGAUGUAGAGUAAAUAAAAAGGGUUAUUAUUAUAUGUUAGAUAGUGAUGCUGAUGUUUUAAGAUUUAUCAAUAGUUUAAAAGUUGGAGAUUUUGUUAAUAUAUAUGUUGUUCACCAUAUUAGUGAACUUAUAGUUGUUAAUGAAGAUGUGACAGCUACUCCAUCAUUAUUACUACUUAGCAAUAGUAAUGUGGCAGCCCCUUUUAAAACUGAUAAGGUUGUGUGUCUUCAUCUCAUCCGUUGAAUAUAAAUGAAGAUGAGUAUAUAAAUGAAAAUCAGCCUCCUAAGGCAGACAAAGGAAAAGCUAAGGUUUCUUUAGAAGACUUAGGGGAAAGUCAAGUUAAUGAUUUCUCCACAUACCACCUUCAAACAUCUGAUUCUGAAUUAAAUUUUCAGACCACUGAUUCUGAUGUUGAUUCACUUUAUGAUAUUAAUGAAAAUAUUGAAGAGGAGUGAUUUUGACAAAGAGUUGCUUUAAGUUAGGAAGUCUAACAUUGAAAAACAAGCAAAAGAAAAGGCUGAUAGGGUAAAUCUAGAUGAGAUACCAUCUGAACUAGUAGGUAUAAAUGCUGGUUUUGAGGAAAUUUGUAAGAACAAGGGGGUUAGAUAUGAAAGUAAACUGGGUAGGGAUGACCCUUAUUUUGGUAGUUUAAAUUCGAAUAGUAACAUUAGUGAAGAGGAAGGAGAUCAUGUUGAUGAUGAUGAACUGGUAGAUCCACUACCUAGAACUUCAUCUAGCAAGAUCUACUUUGAUGAAACUGCAAAGAAGAUAUAUUUUUAGUUGUACAUGAUUUUUUGAAUGCUGUUGAAUUUAGAGAGGUACUGCAGACUUUAUUCAAAAAAAUGUGAACCUUAAAUUAAAACCUAAUAAAAAGAAAAGAGUAAAGGCAAAGUGUAAGCAUAAGGAUUGUUCUUGGGUUAUUCUUGAAAGUGUUGAUAACACAAAAAAUUUUAGUGUGAAAACAUACUUUCUUAUCCACAAAUGUUCUAAAAAGACAAAAAAUGAGAUGUGAGUGAUUCAUCAAUAAAAUUGCAUCAGAUUCAAACACUUUUAAGAAAGGACUAUGGAUUGUAUGUUAGUAAAACAACCCGUAGAAAAUCAAAAAUUAAAAUUAUGAAUGAAUAUUUUGAUGAUUUUGUUGAAGAGUUUGCUAGGUUGUAUGACUAUGCUGAAUAGUUAGGAUCACCAAUCCUGAUACCACUGUAUCUACUAGAACAUCCAAGAAUUCAAUUCCAAGGUGGUUAUAGGCAUUUAUAUUUGUCUUGGGGCCUUAAAAAGUGGAUGAAAAGAGGGUUCUAGAAGAAUAAUUGAUUUAGAUGGUGCCUUUCUCGAGGGUGUAUAUAAAGGUAUCUUGUUGUCUUGUAUUUUCAAAGAUAAAAAUAAUCACAUGCAUCCUGUAGCAUGGGCAGUGGUUGAUAAAGAAACCAAGGACAUAUGGUCUUGAUUUCUUAGGUACAUCAACCAUAAUUUGAAACUUCGAGAAAAUGGGGGUAAAGGCUUGACAUUAAUAUCUGAUAUGCAGAAGGUAUGAAGUGUCAUAUUUUUUUUAGUUAUUUUUUCAAUUUGCUUAGUGAUGUCAUGAAUGUUUAACUACUGUUUUACAUGUUUUGAUAGGGUCUUCAUUUGGCACUUACUAAGCUACUGUCAAAUGCUGAGCAUAGAUGUGCUAGACAUAUAUGGGCAGACUGAAAGCAGGUUUGGAGAGGUGAAAAAAGAAGGAAAAAAUUCUAGCAGGUUGCAAGGGCUCGAUUUAAAGUGUAUUUACAACAAAAAACUUAAUAAAAUGAGUGAGUUAGAUGUUGAAAUUGUGAAAUACUUGCUCAAAUACAACAAAGAGGCAUGGUGUAGGAUUUUUUUUUAAAGAAUAUAGCAGGUGUGAUGUGGUUGAGAACAACAUGUAUGAAACUUUCAAUAGUUAAAUUUUAGCUGCUAGGUUCAAAACAAUUAUCACUAUGUUGGAGAAAAUAAAAUGCAAAGUCAUGGAAAGAAUGAAUCAAAUGAGAAAUUUUUAGAAAAAUGAAUCAGUGAUGUAUCACCAAUGGAUAUGAAAGUUCUUGUAGAGAAUAAUAUGCAAUCAAGUGUGAGGUAAGGUUUAAUGGUGAUAUAGGCUUUGAGAUUGGUGAUCCACCAUAAACACAUGUUGUUAAUGUGAAGAGGAAGGAAUGUAGUUGUAGGUCAUGGCAACUAAAGAAAAUUCCUUGUGCACAUGCAAUUGUUUCAAUGCAUUACAAGGGAUAGAAUGUGGAGUCAUUUGAUAAGCACUGGUAUCAAUGAAAAACAUACUUGAAGGCAUAUGAUAAGUAUAUUCAACCAAUGACAAAUAUAAAGAUGUAGCUAAGAAGCACAAGACCACUAAUUGAGUCACCUGAGAUUACUGCCAUGCCACGAAGGUCAAGUAAAAAUAGAAAGAAAGCUAAGGAUGAGUCUAUUAAGAAAAAGUUUAGGAAGGCUACAAAAAAAGAAAGAAAAAUGACAUGUUUUGUGUGCAAGUCUAUUGGAGACAACAAGAAAGGAUGUCCAAUUUUGGUAACCUAAAACUUUUCUUAUUGAUGAAUUUUACUCUUUUUGAAUGUGUUUUUGAUCUUUAAAUAUUUUUUUGUAGAAAAAAGAUUUCAGUAGUAGCUGUGGCAGUCAACCAAGUGUGCAAGCUGGUGCUAGUACUGUUGCUGCUGAGAGACCUGCAAAUGCUUCAGCAGCUGAAGACAUGCCUGCAAAUGCUAAACCAAGAAACAGAAGGCCUGCAGGAAGGCCAACAAAUGCUCACCGUGUACCAAGAGCUGCAGAAAGGCCUGCAAAUGUUGCAUCAGUUGGUGGUGUGAGGCCUGCAAGUGCCUUAACAACUGAUAUAAGGCCUGCAACUGUUGUGAUUCCUGCAACCACUUCACCAGUAGAUGAUAAUACUACACAAUCUACAACUCAGUAGUCUACUAGUGGUGUUGGUGUCCAAAAGAGGAGGACUAGUACAACUUUGAGAGGUGGUGCAAAUCUUGCAUAUAAAAGAUCAAGGCAAAACAAAAUUAAUUUUGUUGUGCUGUUUGGACUAAGUGGCAACGUAGUGGAGAGGGUAAAUUUUCUAUCAUGUAAUUUUCAUUUAACUGGUAUUAAUUAGUGUAUCUAUAACUGAUUUUUUUUAUUUUUACAGUUUGAAAAUACUGAUAGAGUGUUACAUAAUCCAACACUUAUUAGUUCAGUUCCAAUCAAUAUUGACUUGGGUUUCAAACCAAAUAGACUGAGGCGGAAAGGUGGAGCUGCAGUAACUCAAAGACAACUACAAGAACAGAGUUACAACAGAUAAAACACAAAAUCAUCUACAACCACUCAAGCCACAUCAAGCACUCAAGCCAGCAAGAAUCAGGCCACAACAAGCACUCAAGGAACACAUUAGUGUAAUUCUCUUUUUGUAUUGAUCCCAAGUGUUGUUAAGAUAAUUUUUUAAGACUUCUGAUGCAUUUCUCAUUAAAGAUGUUGUUAAGACAAGUUUUUUCAUUUCAACUCUUGCUAACACAUUAUAUAUUGAAGAUUUCUAAGUUGGCAAAAUGGUGUUUGUCAUUAAAUUUGAAUUUCAUUUUCAUUGUACAUUGCAACUACAAAAAUUAAGUCAUCUUAAAUAUAAUAGAUAGAAAUCAGAUGACAACAAUAAUAAUAGUGAUAUCAAUGCUAGUGCUUGAUCUUUCAUGUCUUUCAUACCUUUCAUAUCUUUCCAGUCCUUCUUGUCUUCGUUGCCUUCUAUGUCUGCCUUUAUAUUAUUUAUUUUCAUCAGCACAUCAAAAGAAUCCACAAUCAUUAGCAACUUCAUAUUUUUGACAGCUCCAAAAUAUUUUUUCGGGGUUGAUUGGUAUUCUUGAAUCUUAAUUUCAGCGUAAAGCCCACAAUAACAUACCCGAACUGUCAUGGUGUUGUGAAAAAUUACAUAAGAUAUUAACAUUCCAAUAUUACAAACAGAACAGGAAAAAAAAUUAAGAAACAAGAACUUAGAGAGAGAAAAAUGGAGAAGAAGGGAGAAAAAAAAGCUCAAAUUGCUUCAAUAAUGAUGUUGGAAGCAUAUGAGGAAGAAGUAGCAUUUAUAAGGACUUUAUGACUGUUGGGGGACUUUUUUCGAUGGCUUACGUGCGCUUGAAGGCUAAACUAUUUGCUCCUAUGUGAUUCCAGCCACAUUGGAUGCCACAUCAAAAAAAAGUAUUUAAAAUGUUCAUUUUUAGUGGGUUCAAGGAUUCAGAUGAUAAACAUGUAAGUAGAAGUGUCUACAUUACAAAACAGACAUAGUACAAGGGUCCAUUGAAUUAUUUUGCCUUUUAUAUUUCAAUCUUUCUUUCUCACUUAUAUUUUUAGCUCUUAUCUUAAGGGGUGUUUAGCCAUAAAAGUUUUAAUAUUUUUAGAAAGAUCAUGUAAGAGUAAAAAAUAAUAUUUAAAAAUUAAAAUUGUGUUUUGAUCAUAAAUAUAAAUUGGAGGCGUUUUUGAAUUACUUUUCAAAUUUCAAUUUUUUGAAAAGUAUUAUCACAAGAUCAUAUACAAAAAAAUUGAUUUUCACUAAGAGAGUUAAAAAAAUUGUAUUGCUUGAGAUUUGAAUUUAGAAUUUAAAGUGAAUUUUGAAUUUUCUAAACUAUUGAUCCUACUCUAAUUUAUUGUUUAGGGUAUUGAAAAAAAAAAACUAUAUAGCUAGACAUUAAUUCUGCUAAUAUAUGCAGUAACGAGAUGAGCCUCGCCAUAGUACCAAAUUUAUAUGAAUUUAUUUAUGAUUAAUUAGGAGUUGUUAGAUUAAAAAAGUGAACAAAAAUGAAAGAGUUGAAAAAAAAAAGAGAAAUAUGAAAAAAAGAGUGGCUAGCCAAGAUUUUGUAGUUAUAUAGUUUUCUUUAAACAGUCUAUAGCAUCAAUGAUUUAGGAAAUUUAAAAUUCACUUUAAAGUUCUAUAUUUAAUCUCAAGUAUUUUUUUUUUUUUGAUUAUGAGUAGCAUCAAUGAUUUAGGAAAUUUAAAAUUCACUUUAAAGUUCUAUAUUUAAUCUCAAGUAUAUUUUUUUUUUGAACUCUUUUAGGAGUCGUUUGGUACACUGAAUGUGAUAAAUAAGAAUAUCUAAGGUGGGAUAUUUCAUAAGAUUAUUUUAUUCAUCUCUCUCCGUGGGACAGUAAUCUCAUUAUCUUAAUAUAAAUGGUGGAAUAAAAUAAUUUUGAAAUUAAGUAAUACCUUAUAUCAAAUAUGGGAUAAAGUUAAUUCUAAAUUUUAUCCCAAAAUUAUUUUUUAUCCCUUCUACCAAACGAUUCCUUAGUGAAAAUCCACAAUCUUUUCAUAUCUGGGUUUGUGAAAAUAUUUCAGAUAAAUUAAAAUUUAAAAAAUAGCAAAAAUUAUUUCUAAUCUAAGUUAUUCCUAAAAACUCAAAAACACUUGCAAUUCGUAUUUAUGAUCAGACAUAACUUUAAUUUUUAAAUAAUAUUUUUUACUUUUAAAUAAUUUUUAAAAAAUAUUUACACUUUUCAUGACUAAACACUCCUUAAAAUAAAAACUAAAAUUUGAGUGGGGAAGAUAGAAAUAUAAAAUAAGGAGGCAAUAUUCAAAAAAAAAAAAAACAGGAAACAGAAGGAAAUGUGAGGAAAUAUUGGGAGAGGAACAUUUGCUAAUACAAUGGACCCCACAAGAACAUAUGUCAAAAGCAAAAAGACCCUUACAUAACUAUUGUUGGGUGAGCCUCACCCAUUUUAUAAUUUUCCAUCACCGAAACUACAGAUCAUAUGCUACUGUCAUUUGCACUUUUUCCCUUGAAAUAAAUAAUAUUUUAUAAGUUUAUAAUCAUUUUAUAAUAAUAUUUCAUGAGUUAUGGUCCUCUCCUAUAAGGUAGUUGUCCCAGUAGAUAUAAUUUCAAUUGCGAAAACUCAAAAUUCGAUGGGCGAAUUGCAAUUAAAUGACCUAAUUUGUCAUGUCAUUUGAGGACAAAAUGUUUGCAUGGAUUGUUCUUGUUUUAAAGUGGUUUUCAAUUUUUGCAAUCAAAAUAAUAUAGUUGAAUUUGUUUAAGUGUUUUAAGGGCACGCGAGUUAGAUUGAUUAUAAAAAUGAAAUAACAAUGAAAUGAAUCACAGCAACAAGAUGUAAUGAAUACAAAGCAAGAAAAUAAUUAAAUUAGAUCCUAAAAUUGGGCCUAGGUGGCUUUGGUAUUCUCUGUCCGAAAGCUGAUGAAUUGAGAAACUGAGAGCCUUUUCUUAAGAAGAGAAAGUAUGUAUGAACAAGUGUGUCUUGUAAAAACUUUCAGAGCCUCGAAUGUUUGAUUCCUAAGUGUGUCACUGUCUUCCAGUUGAGCAGUAGCACUUUGGUUGUCGGGUUGGAAAGAUUAUCUUAUCAUCAUUACUAGUUACUGUUUCUGUAUCAAGAUUCUACCUUUCUGAAGUUAGACAGGCCAUGUUAGUAAGGCCGGUACCAAUGUCGAGUAUUAUAGGAUCCCUCCAAAAUUGGACAUCACUCCGAGCUCGGUCUUUUGGAAGGGUUCUUCUGGUGCUCCCCAAUAGUCCCUUCAUAGUCAGACGCAUGUAUCACAUCUUUCAUGUCUUUUUUUUUUGCAACAAAUGUGAAUAUUAACAUCAACAAAACAGUCAUAUAAAAAUAAUUUUUUUUUAAUUUGAGUCUCAUAUGUCAUGUAAUAGUUGUAUGAGGUCUUUAAUAUUUGACGAAAUACAUAUACAGGCCCUUGAAAUAUUUCACUUUUCCCGUUUAGACACCUAAAUUAAGAAAGGUACCUAUUGAACCCUUUACUCCUUCAGAAAUGGUUUCAAUUGAGCCCAAUUCUCCGAUGUGGCAGUUUGCGUGUACUCACAUCUGGGAGGCGCGUGAAAUGUCAUGGAACCAGCUUAUGUGGCACCCAACGGAUCUUUUAUCCUCUUUUUAUACCCAAUUUCUUAAAAAAAAAAAACCCUAAUUCCCACUUUCUUCCUCUUUUUAUACUCAAUUCUUAAUAUCCACCAUUUUUGUCUCCUAAAUUCUCCUUCUCCUCUUAAAUUUCUUUUCAGCCUUUUCUCUUGCUUCGCUUAAACUCUCCUACUCUUAUUAAUUUCUUCUUCUUACUCGUUUUUAGUAGUAAUAUCCAAUUCAUCUUUUUCAUUGUCUUCAUCUUCUUUAAUUCCAAAAGGAGUAUGUUUAUGUGGGGUGAAAGCUGAAAUUAAGACCUCGUGGACACAACUCAACACUAGUGGGAGAUUCUUUUACUGCAAAACUUCAAAGGUAUUCAUCUUUUGCUGCUUCAUUGGACGAAAUGCAAUUACUUCGAUUAGUGGAUGCAAUUUUUUAAUUUAAUUUUUUCUUUAAACCUGUAGGCGAGAGGUGGAUGCAAUUACUUUGAUUGGUAUGAUGAUGAAAUGCCCCCUCAAGCAAAGAGGGUGAUGUGGGGUUUAUUAAAAAAAUUCAAAUCAUUUGAAGAAGAGAGGAAUCGAUCAAGAAAAUUUAAAGUGAUAUGCGUUGGGGCGAUUGUGAUUUUGGCUACAUGGAAUUUCUUCAAGAAAUGUUCUUAGAUUUUGACAAAUAUUGGCUUAGGUUUCUUAUAUAUAGGACUGUUUUGAUUUGGAUAAUUCUGAAAUAUAUUAGUUGUAUUGGGACUGUUUUGCUUUGGCUUUCUUGUUGUAGUGGGAUUGUUGUGUAUGAAACAAUUAAGAAGGAAUGAAGAUAAGUUGUGAAAUGUUACUCUCUUACUAUGUUUUGAUUUUUCUUUACUUUUGUAAUUGGUUUAGUUAGAUUAUUGUACUCUAUUUUUUUAGAGUUCAAAUAAUUCAUUUAAAUGAUUCAAAGCUGUCAAAUGUUUAACACAAAAGGAACUACCAUUCAAUAAUUAUAUAAAGCACAAGUGCAACUGAUCGACAUUUUAAACACAAUAAUCUACCAUUCAACUGCUCAAAAUGAGCUCCAACCAUACAUCAAGUGUUCAUCCAAAACUAAUCUAAACAAACCACAAAAAAUAGUUCAGAAUCUUUAAAAAUCCCAACAAAAUACCAAAGUAGCCAUACAACUAAUAACCAAACUAUACAUUGUGCUAAAAACACAAUUAAUUCAACAACUUCAGAUUCCUCCUGGUGCACUAGAACUUUCAAGUUGGCUUCUUUUUUUACUGACUCAUACUCUGCAAUUGAGAAGUUGUGACGACAUUCUUUUCCUUCCACUUCAUUCCUCGAGGCUUAUAACCAAUAUCAAUAUUUGUUUGAGUUACAUCUUUGUAAACACCCAGAGUGACAACUGUUUCACUUCUAGUUCCAGGUUGUAUAAAAUGAAGUAAAAUUAGAUUUGUCAAAAGAUAAUUAAAAAUUACAUGAAUUGAAGUUGUAAUUCACACUUACAUUUAAUGUUUUACUGCAACUCAUUUGAUCAGUGUAGAUACCAAAUCCUACUGUCUUAGACCUCUUUUGUCCUACUGAUGAUGUUGAUGCUCCAAUGGUCAUUUUUUCCUUAAGUUGCUGAUCAGAUACACUUUCUUUUCCUCUACUUCUGCCAGUGCCUCUUCCAGAUCCUUUGCCUUUGCCAGCUCUCCUACCUUUGUCAGUAUCUCUACCUCUACCUCUACCUCUACCUCUUCCAGCUGGCUGCACUCUUAUAACUGCUGAGGUAUCAACACACAUAGAACUGCUGAAGCUUGGUUGCUGGCUGAAGCUUGGUGGCCUGCUAGAGCUUGGUGGCCUGCUAGAUCUUGGUGGCUAGAUGAAGCUUGGUGGUUAGCUAAAGAUUGGUGGCCUGCUAAAGCUUGGUGUCUUGCUAGAGCUUGGUGGCUGUCUGAAGCUUGGUGGCUGCUAGAGCUUGGUGGCAUGCUAGAGCUUGGUGGUUGGGUAGAGCUUGGUGGCCUGCUAGAGCUUGGUGUCCUACUAGAUCUUGGUGGUUGACUGAAGCUUGGUGGCCUGCUAGAGCUUAGUGGCUGGCUAAAGCUUGGUGGCCUGCUAGAACUUGCUGCGUGGCUAGAGCUUCCAGGUUGUCCCAUUCCAUCUUAACAAUAAAGGAUAUUAAAUAUAUAUUAUAAAUAUCAGAAUUUAAUUAUUGAAUUAAAAGAUAUGAGUGCAUUACCUGAGCUUUACAGAGAGUUCUGCUAUGACCAAUUUGAUGACAUUUGGAGCAAGAAAUUUUCAGUCCUUUCCAGGAUAGCUUCCCAUAUUUCUUCUUAGGCUCAUUCUUCCUUUUUUUCUAUUCUUUCCUGGUCUGCUAGGCAUUCGUCUAGGCUCAUGAGGAUCAAUCACUACACCACUUGUGUUAGGCUACAUUUCCAUAUUAGAUAUUGGCUGAAGAAAGUAGUCAUAAGCCUUCAAGAAUGUAUCUUUCUUAUACCACUCUUCCACAUAAAAUUCAGGCUCUAUACCUUUAUGCUGAUAAGCCAAUACAGCAUGUUGACAUAGUAUGCCUCUCAAUUUCCAGCUUCUGCAAGUGCAAGUCCUUGUCCUAAUAUUAACUAUAUGCCUAUAAGGACCAUCUAAAAUUCCAUACCCAAUCUGUCCAUUGAACCUCACUGUGCAAUUUCUAGCCAUAUCUUUAUUUUCUUCAAGUACUAGCAAAGCCAUAAGAGAGAUGUCUGAAAUGCAGGUAUUAACAAACUUCCUCAUUUCAACAUUUCUAUCCAUUAUCUUAUGUCUAAUCUCCUCUAACAUACAGAUUAUAGAUUUAUGUCUAACAGCUAAAAUUCAUGAAUUAAAAGUCUCACACAUAUUAUUCUCAACAAUGUCACAUUUAGAAUACUCCCUAAAAUAUGCCCUGCACCAUGAUUUUUUUCAUAAUGUAAUAAGUCCUCACAAAUAUCCUUACCAAGUUGACUGAGUUUGCCCAUCUCAUCCAAAAACUUCACUUCAAAACUGGAUUUAGCACACCUCUAAAAUUAUUUUCUUCUUUCUUCUCCUCUCCAGAUCUGAUGUCAAUUGGACCAGAUGUAUCUUGCACACCACCUCAUUUCACAAUCUGGUAACAACUCAAGUAUAGUAGGUACAAGACCUUACAUCAGUAUAAAUACAAAAUAAAAACACAAAAUAUAUGAACAUGGAAUGUAUAGUAAAUAAAUAGAAGACAUCAAAAUUAAAUUUUAAAAAGUAGACUAACCUUUUGCAUAUCUGACAUGACAGACAGAUCAUGUUCAAUGCCUAAGUUCAAAUCUUGAAUCAAGUGGUUAAUGAAGAAACUCCAGCUAUUUUGUCUUUUGAUCAACCACUGCUCAGGCUAUUGGAUACAUUUGAUUAUUUCCAUUUCUCCCAACUGCAACUAACAAUUCACCCUUGCAAGAACCUUUCAAAAAACAACCAUCUAACCCAAUAAUUUUUCUGCACCCUGCCAGCCAGCCUCUCUUUAAUGCAUCAAAGCACAAAUAAAAAUAAAUAAAUAGAUUUUUUCCAAGUUGAGACUCUCUAUCUAUCCUCACCCAACAAGAACUGUCAGGAUUAAUAUGUUUUAUCAUGUCUGCAUAGUCACACAACCUUGAAAAUUCCAUCUUCCAAUCACCCAAGAAUUCUUUAAUGAUUCUAUGCUUUGCCUUGCUACAAAUAGUUUUUUCCACAUACAAACCCAAUUUUUUUCUCACCAAUUCCUGAAUUUCCCACAGUUUUAUAUAAGGUUGUAAAGUUAUUUCAUCUUUGAACUUACUUACAAUAAAUUUAGAUGUGCACAAUUUAUUUUUAUAGUAGUAGUGCAUACAUGUACAGGAUAGUAGUGCUUGACAACAGAGUCACCAGAAUGCUUAUCAAUACUAGCAAACAACAACCAUUUACAUUUCUUGCCCUUACACCUAACUCUAACUCUAUGUUUCUCAUUAGGCUUAAGCUUCAAUCUAACUUUGUAUUCAACAGCAUACUCAACCACAACCUUUCUAAAUUGCUUAGCAUUUUCAAAUAUCAUACCAAGCUCAAAUAUAGCCACAACACAAUCAGAAUCAAAUCUUACUUUUUUUACUUUUCCUUUUUGCUGAUAAAUCAACACCCCUGACAGUUUCAGGUUCCAGUCCAUCAGCACUAUCAUCACUAUCAACUUCAAAGCUAUCUAUAUACUUAUCAUCUCCCCCUAAUCUUCUACUGUAUCUAGCAGUCUUAUUCCUUCCAAUAUCUUCAAAUCCCCUAUCAACACCUGCUGAUCCAAGUUUUAUUUUUUCAUUUUGGACAGAUUUCUUUUGUUUCACACAGUUUCUCCUUUCAUUUCUAAGAGUUCUUAACUCUUCAUCAUCCUCAGAAUCGUCAUCUUCUGGUAUAUUAAACUCUUGAGAAUCAACACUACUAUCAAGAUCUAUUUCAGCCCCUUCUAGAUCUGAGAGUUCAUCUGCACCAGAUUCUAUAUCUAUGUUGUCAGUUUGGGUAGGUUCCUCAUGUAACCCUUCAACAUUAAUAUCAUGAACUGUUGAUAUGUUCUUACCCACAUUACUAUUUUCACCAACCACAUUACUACUUUGAUCACCUACUGUACCACAAAGAAAACCAGAUGGGACCUCAUCUUCUACCACUUCUACCUCAUCCACAACAUGGUUCAUAUACAAGUCUAAAAAGUCCCCAUCUUCUAGGUCUUCAACAAGACUUACCAAAGUCAAGUCAUUUUCUACUUCAAUAAAGACUUUCUUUUUAGGGUCUUUAAAGUAGAACCCACCAACAGUCAUAUACCCAAAUUCUUUAGUAUAAUAAAACAACUUGAAUAUAGAAAAGUGGUCUUUGUUCGUACUUACAUAUUCCACCUCACUUUCUCCUAUGUAGUGUGGACCAUAUUCUUCAUCAGAAACAAACUUGCCACCAUGGUGAAAAUGAGUUGUAAUAAUAAUAUUAGCCAUUAGAUUCCUGAAACAAAAUUCCAAAAAUACCUGACAAGUUAUGAAUAGUAAAAACCCUAAAAAAAUCCUAGCUUUUUUCGGAUAUUCCCAAACUACAAUUACUAACGUAAUAUACUAACAAAGAACUAAUAAAUCAUUUACAACAACAAGACAUGACAAAAAUGUGACAAUAUUGACAUUUGCAACAUACCUGAGUGCGAUUCAAACACAAAACAAUAACAAUUUUUUAGAUCCAACUCCAGAUUCUUUGCAACCAAUAAAGAAAUGUUGAAAUCAGUGUCAAACUUGAACUAAUCACUCAAAAACACUAUGUAACUUUUUAUUAUACAACAAACGAAGCAUAAAUUAGUAGUAUUAGGAGUGAAAUCGCAAUUUUAGGGUUUCUGAUAGAUUUAGGGAUGUGUAUGAGGGAUUUGACGUUAUAAGGAGGGAAACGAAGUAGAAAUUAUCUUUAUGUAUUAAUUAAAAAAAAGGUGGGGUGUAAAAUAUAAUUGGUUAUAAUUGGUCAAAAUCUACACGUAGACGAUGACUACAUACACGCACUUAACACGUUAAAAAAGAAGGCUUUAAAAAGGUGUCAUGUCGGACAAUUGAGCUCAGUUGAAACCAUUUAUGAAGGGGUAAAGGGUUCAAUAGGUAUCCGUCUUAGUUGAGGUGUCUAUACGGAAAAAGUGAAAUAGUUAAGGAAUCUCUCUAUAUAUAUAGCCUUAAUAUUUUGACAAAUUAACCUUUUGGGUCCCACCUUUCGGAGAAUUCUUUCUUAUUUUUUCCUCUUCAUUUUCUUUUCUGUCUCAUUGUCAUUUAACUUUUUUUUCUUCAACAAAUAAUGUUUUGUGCUUUUGCUCUUUCUUUUUGGGUUAUUUUUUACUUAUGGUUUUCUUUAUUUUUCUUCAUUUACCCUAUUUCUUUCCAAUUUUUUUUAGUACUCUUGAUACAAGUAAAUUGAAGGUUUUUCUUUUUCCUUUAAUUUUUUAUUUGUCAAUAUUUAUAUGCAAAUUAAAUGAUACUUACUUUUUUAUUUAUUUUUUUAGUUUAUUUUAAAAAUAUUAUUUCUUUGAUUUUUAGAUAGUAAGGUAAUAUUGUUUCCAUUAGUUAGUGUCUAGUUAGAUUUUGUAAUUAUUUUAAUCCGAAAUAUAAUUUUUGAUAUAUAUUUAAUGAUGUGACAGUUCCUAAAUUUCCAAGAAAAGUUAUUUUAAAAAUUAAAAUCAAUAGUUAGAUUUAUUUAGGACCAACUCAUUCUAAAUUCAAUUCAAUUCUUGAAAGACCGCCUGGAAAUAAUUUUUCUAUAUAGAAAAUUAUCUUAAUGAUUAAAAAAAAAGAUGAUUGCUCUUCCAUUUUUAACAUGCUAAGUAUUAUACAUGUCCUAAUAACAUUGAACCAUGAUAAAUAAUAUUAUAUAAAUUCAAUUAUAAAAAACAGAUUUAUCACUUAUCAAAUUUAAUUUUAAAUUUUCGAUAUUCAAAUUUUUCAACACCAACAAAAAGAGAGUAUAAUAAAAAAUAGAAAUUAUUGUCAUGAUUGAAUGGCCAAAAUUUUAUUUUCUUUUUUUUAACAAAUAUGAACAAAUAAUAGUUGGGAUGAAAAAAAAGAUUCAUUCUACUUAGUACCGAAACAGGAGGAAGAAAAAUCAAUUUGUGAAAAAAGACAAAGAAAGAAUAAAAAACAGUAAACAAAAAAGUAACCAAAAAAAAAGAGCAAAUAAUGUUUUGCCCCAAAAAAGUUAAUGAUCGAAAAAGUAAAAUAAAUAAAUGAAUAUAGAAAAUGAUCUGAUAGUGGGACCCCAAAGUCCAUUUGUCAAAAAAUUAAAGACCUCAUAUUAAAAUUUUACAUAUACAAACUAAAAGCAUCUCGUCUCAUCUCCCACUUCUAGAAGGUUGUACUACUAAUUAGGCCUCCAGGAAACAGAGAAGUGUGGUACAAAAAUUAAUUCGUCUGUCUGCUCUCUUUCUAUCCCUAUAAAAUUCAAUUCUCUCAAUAAUUUCGCAUGUGAUUUGCCCCACUGUGUCUGUACAUAGUAUGUCCUCCUACUUUGCAUCCUUGGAUGAAUACUGGACCUUUAAAUUGAAUCCAGUUCCUUGCUUUCCAGAUGUAAUACACCAUAGUCCCCCAUAAUGCAGCUGCCGCUUCCUUCUUAAACUUCUUCCAAUGCUCUCUUCUAAUCAGCUCAAAUGUAGUCUUCACAUCUCCUGCGGACAGUGAAAUAUUGGAUUAUUAUAUGAGUUCAGCUCUUACCAGUGCAGCAUAUAUAGCCACAGUCAACAAAUAUGUGGCUACUACGCUCUCCAUUGUAGAUGAUUGAAAUAGGCGGCAGUUGACAUUUUCUAUGUACAUGUUCAUAUGUAGUAAUCUUUCCUUCGUAAGCAAUCUGUUCAGCAAGGUAACCACUAGUAAUUGAAUACUUUAGCAGUAAGGAUGAAUUGCCCCCAUGCAUCAGUGUUUCAUUCUAUCCCUUAUAAAAUUUAUUUUCCUCCAACACCAGCUACUUGUUAUUUUCGUUUGUACUUUGGGUACACAGAAUCAGUAUAUGCAGAACAAUAACUUCAACUAGAGUUCAAGUAUAAACAAGAACACAAUGAAGUAUAUCAAAUACUCUCUAACACAAGAUCGAAAUGACCUUUUCAAGAGGUGUAUUUUAUUUUUUCAGAAAUUAAGAUGAAACAGAAAAUAGCCAAGUCAUCCGAAUUCACGAAGUUUCUUUAAGGAAAUAAUUUCCCUCACUGUACCCGAGGUUAUAGAAUUUUUCCUCCUAGAAUAAAAUGGCUAAAUAGAUCAAUUGUAGCGGUACCUCAAACGGUUGGAAUAUCUUCGAACGCACAGGACGUUUUGAUUGAUCACAUAGAGUAAUUUGGAAGACAAGAAGUAAUUUUGUAUUCUGAAAUUUUCAUAUCAAAACCUGUGGAUGAAAGCAGGUUUAUAUAGCCAUAACAUGUCUCUUCUGAAAAUAGGCAAUGGUUCACUCCAAAGGUUACACCUUUGCUGUAAGUUCAUGUCUGUUCAUCAAAGAUUGCAUCUUUUCCUGAAUAGUCAUCUCAUUUCAUGAAUCAGUGUGUCACUUCAUUGAAGGAUUACAUCCUUCUGAAGCAUCAUUUCGAACCAUUGCAACUCAGUUUAAAACAAUAUAUCAUUUCUGAAGCACCAGUUCAAAAACAAUGCAUCAGUUCACUUGAAACAGUGCAACUGUUACUGCAUCUAUAUAUAAAUGGAGAUCCUAAACACUGCAGAAAAAUUUUACUGCGUUUUUCCUUGGCAUUCUUCGGAAUUCAAAUAAAGUUUGUCCAAAAAAAUAGAUCUCAUCGAUCAAUCAUUAUCCAAAUCCAAAGCCAAGCGAGCAACGAUGAAAAUGGCGCAAGACAUCUAUUAUUUCUUGCCUCACUUGCCAUGUGGAAUAAAUGUUCUUGAUUAUAAAUACUUUCAAGUACUCUUCUUCCACCAAUGUGGGAGAAAGAGUAAAUUAUCUAAUUUGGAAGUACACUUUUCAUUUUAGUGUCUCCUUCCCCUCCAUCAUUUUACUCUCCAUUUUUUCAUUCACACUUCUUUCAUAUACUAUGAACCCAACACUACUAUCUGCUGGCUUCUGUGUCCAGAUAGUGUCAGUUUUGAUACAUAUUUCGGGUGCCUACUUCAGCCCCAAAGACUCCUUCUUUACAACUACUUUCCACAAAACCUUGCCUACCGAUGCCAAGUUCCAAUUCUCACACAAUAUUCAAACCACCCUGCUUUUUGGAGACACUUUAUCCCAAGCUACUAGUGCUACCUUCCUUUUCCCUCUAUAAUACCCCACAAGUAAUCUCUAAAUGUCUUAUCUACCUCCUUCACUAUACUAGGGGGAAGGAGAAAAACUGCAUUUUAUUCAUCCAUCUGUCAAGACCGGUUUUACCCCAUACUACCAAAGCGGCCAGCAAAAUUUUGACCAUACUGCUUUGAGCAAAUCUUCCUGAGCAAAAUAAAUGGUCUGAAAUUUCCACUUUCUUAGAGUGGGGCAAGCAAUACAAGAAUCUUGAUUGGAAGAUUAUAUCAAAAUUUUGAGACCUUUUCAUCAGUUGGUACCCUGUCGUAUGAAGCUCCCCACCUUACAAAUGUCAUCUUGAAAAAUAUUAUUGUUUAUGCCACAUUUUUUGGGCACUUACUUGAUUGUUCUUUCUUCUAAAUUAGGAGCUCCCAUGCUGAGGCUAGUGAGAACCUGCCAUUGAUGUUAGCCAACCCUAGUACUCUAUCUGGAGCUGCAUGGAAUAAGGUAAUGUGGUGUUGUGCUACCAUGCCAUAUUGCCAAGUGACAUUGUCAAGUGCCUCCUUAAGAAGGGAUAUUUCCGGCUUUUGCUCCAUCAGGUAAAUGACUAUAGAGCAUUCCCGUUUUUGUUCAGUUGUCAUACCAGAAUGAUGUUUUUACCUUUCCAGGCAGGCAUGCUAUAUUUUCCUUAACUUCAUGCUUUAAGUCACAGAGGGCUCUCCAGCCGUGUGACUGUUGCCCUGAUAAUUUUCAUGGAUCGUACAUGUGAAAUAUUUGGUUUGGGUGGAAAUGAAUUGACUCUCAUCUAAGAGAAAACACACUGCUAGUUAAUUAUAUUAUGUCGCAGCAUUAAUGGAGACACUCUUUAGAUGCCCGGUCCCCUUGCCAGCCACUAGAACUUGGGAGGGCAAUUUCUGUUGAUCCUUGACAAGCCAAAACAAUUUCCAAAUUAAUCAUUUAAAAAAAAAAAACAUUACAGAGCCAAGAAGCCAUCAUCUAACACAAGAUCUAGCAACACUUAGUAUAGAAAAUUCACAAUCUUUCAUUGAUAUAAACAAUUGAAAGAGCAAUUACACGAGAACAUCAAAUUAGACAUUAGAGUCAAUGAGUUCUCCAUUCACUAACUCUCUGUAAGCAGCAACAGGCCAGAUGAAGCCUCUCCAGACGAGCCUGUUAGCCAAUGGAACAUCAAUGAUGAUCUCCUUCAUUGUUGGCUUCUUCUCAUCUCUUAUUGCAAUCAAGUAGCUCCUUCCUACCCACCCAAUCCAUCCAGCAAUGUACAAGAAGAGGAUCCCAGGAGUGAUGAACUCACCCCAGUGCCUCUGGUCUCCACUCACUAUCAGGUGUGGCAGUCCAUCCGAUCCGCACAACAGUCCUUGUUUCGCAUAGUUGUCAAAUCUGCAAUGUCAAUAGGUGAGUGACUUUGUAAGUGAAAUAAAACAUGGACUCGAGUAUCAAGGAGUUGGAAUCAAAUGGAAUGUUCUAUUUUUCUAUGUUUACUUAGUCUAUGUCAAUGACUUAUGCAAGGAAAAGUUGAAAAUCUGUUACAAAAUAACUUGCCAUUCUUUCAUAAGCAAAUUUACUUCGUGCGCUCCUAUAGGGAGAAGGUGUUGAAGGUGGCCUCGUUUUCACACUUUUGGUUGGAUAAACGGAAGCCAUCAUCUAACACAAGAUCUAGCAACACUUAGUAUAGAAAAUUCACAAUCUUUCAUUGAUAUAAACAAUUGAAAGAGCAAUUACACGAGAACAUCAAAUUAGACAUUAGAGUCAAUGAGUUCUCCAUUCACUAACUCUCUGUAAGCAGCAACAGGCCAGAUGAAGCCUCUCCAGACGAGCCUGUUAGCCAAUGGAACAUCAAUGAUGAUCUCCUUCAUUGUUGGCUUCUUCUCAUCUCUUAUUGCAAUCAAGUAGCUCCUUCCUACCCACCCAAUCCAUCCAGCAAUGUACAAGAAGAGGAUCCCAGGAGUGAUGAACUCACCCCAGUGCCUCUGGUCUCCACUCACUAUCAGGUGUGGCAGUCCAUCCGAUCCGCACAACAGUCCUUGUUUCGCAUAGUUGUCAAAUCUGCAAUGUCAAUAGGUGAGUGACUUUGUAAGUGAAAUAAAACAUGGACUCGAGUAUCAAGGAGUUGGAAUCAAAUGGAAUGUUCUAUUUUUCUAUGUUUACUUAGUCUAUGUCAAUGACUUAUGCAAGGAAAAGUUGAAAAUCUGUUACAAAAUAACUUGCCAUUCUUUCAUAAGCAAAUUUACUUCGUGCGCUCCUAUAGGGAGAAGGUGUUGAAGGUGGCCUCGUUUUCACACUUUUGGUUGGAUAAACGGAGGACUAAACGAGUUUUUAUGAGCAUUAUCGGGUUCUAGAAUAUAUAUCAAAAAGGAAUUCUACAUUUUUAUAUUUCGGAGCUUUUUAAUUUUAAGCUUCUUAUCUUACUCGUAUGCUAUCAUAACUAUAAAAAUGUAAUGUCUGAGAUCACAAUUCUAAGAAUACUGAUAAGUGAGACUUGAGCACCUCCACCAAACCGGUAAGUGGGAUCACUGUUAUUCUCACCAAAAGAAGAAUCUAAGAAUACUAGUCUUUAAAGAAGAAAAAUUUGUACACAAUCAAAUACAUCCACAUAAAGUGUAAGAAUAUGAUUAAAUAGAAAAUGAUUACUAAGGACAAAGCAAGGAAAAUUUAGCAUAUAAGAAAGAAGGGAACUUUCAAGAUUCUUGCAAAAUUUAAAAGAAAAGGUAACAAAGACAAACCUGCGCUUAGUUUUCUCAAUAGUGGCAUUAAUAGCAAGUGCAGGAGCACUAUCAGGUGCAUACAGUUUCAAAGAAUUCUCAAGCUUCUUGAUCUGUUGCUUCUCCCUCUUAGCAAACUGCUUUGACUCCUUGCAAGGUGUGAGCCCAGAGAUGUCAGCAGAAGCUGGAAGCACUGGUGCUGACAAAAGAAUUGAAGACAAAGCAAGUGCUGCUGAGAAUGCUUUUAAUGAGGAAGAACUCUCAUCUGUCUUAGUAGAAGCAGGGGUCUGGUUUGAAGAGCAUACUAUGGUUGAAGUU
Molecule: long non-coding RNA, 75593 nt
Filed under: Capsicum annuum
Lineage: Eukaryota; Viridiplantae; Streptophyta; Magnoliopsida; Solanales; Solanaceae
Description: long non-coding RNA (CANN_LNC003247)
Source: RNAcentral